CUAACCCUAACCCUAGCCUCCCUUUUCUUUACCCUACCUUGUCCUCUUAAGAACUGCUGCCGCCGCCACCGUCGCCGCUCCGGCUGUCGAAGAAGCCCUAUCUUCUCCUCUCUCUCUUUCCUCACUUUCUCUCUCUCUAUUAUUGGUGUUGAGAGGGGAUGAGACUGGAGCCCCUUGUCUUUGCAUCGCCGCCGGCAAGGGCCGCCACCGCCGCCAUCUUCCUUGGGCCUUGGCGACUUCCCCUGAGCCUCCUCAGGCGCCGCUGUGCCCUGGGGAGCUACUGCGGCCUAGAGGGAGCGGCCGCGCGGCCGAGAGGAGCCACCCUGCCGCUGUCGUGCCUCCCCGCCACCUCCGAUCGACCCUAGCGGUCCCGGGGGACCACCAGCAUUGCCCCCGGCUGCCCCGAGCCGCCAUUGCGCCGCGCUCGCGUGCCCUAGCUGCGGGACUGAUGUAAUACACUGAACUUUUGCAAAUUGCGAAAUUUCAAGUGUGAGAAAUGAUAUGUGGAUUUAUCCUACAUAUUUUAAAAGGCUUGGACAAGUUUUUGGACAAGUUAGAGGGUAAUUGGAUGGCUAAAAGUAAGAAAGUGCAUUGAUCUGGCGAAAUCAGCAUUUUUCUGCUUGGUGUACCGGUACAGCCAUCAUUGUGUACCGGUACACAGUGGCAGAAACGUGGCAGUAAGGUUAUUUUGGUAAUUUCACACCUUAUACUUAUCUACUUGACCCCAGCUCGACCUGGGAUGCUCAGUAGAGGUUGCUGGAGCUCAGAAUUUGGUCCUCCACCUUCUUCACUCUCUCUCUCUCUAGGAUUUUUCUCUCUCUACCUAGAAUCGACGAUUUCGCCCGUUUUCAUCGCCUCGCCUGUUCUUCGCUGUUUGCGAGCGUCGCAAAGCUUACGUAAAUGUGUGAGAGAGUGUUCUGGAAGGCUUUUCGCAGGGCUGAACCAGUAGUUUACUGGUUGGAAGCCUGAGGAGGUAAUCGACUCAAUUUUUCCGUUAUCAACAUUCUAUUAGACGAGUUGAUUACAGAUUUCAGGUUUUUGCUUUCAACUAUUUUAAACUGAGGUUUCAGCAAAUAAAGAUGAGUUAAUUAGCUGUGAAUUAACCUCCUUAGGCCAGGGAUAAGCUACUUUGAAGCUUAGUAGAGGUAAUUAGUUCACUAUGAAGCUAAUUCGGAACUAAAUGCGAGUUGUUUGCGCGAACUAAUGCAGUUUGGAUUGUUUUCUUCGCAGCAGGUUUUUGAACCAAAUUGAGCUUGAUUGGUGACCUUGGGGACUGGUUUAGAAGGUGUUCUAACCUGAGGUAAGCUGGAAUUACAGUUAGAAACCUAAUUUCACAAGAAUUCGGCUAUAUGAAUUAGUAUACGUGCGUUUUGACGCCGUUUAAUGAUUGUUCGCAGCGAGAGUGCAAUCGACCCUUGGAUUGUCUUCGGCUAGCUUGAGAGAGCCCUUGGAGAGUUAUUUUGAGGUACUAAAGGGAACCAAAACAGGAAUUCAAGUUACUACUUUGUACUAAGUGCGGACAUUUCGGUUGUAGUAUUGGUGUGAUUUCGUGCUUUGUUUUCAGCAGGAUUGGGGCUUCGUUGAGCUGAAUAUUGGUACUUCUUGUGACUGAUCUGAGCCUAGUAAGAGGUGGGUUUGACCUAACCAGAGCAAGCGAAGCUCCCCUAUGUUCUAUAUGUCACUAUAGAAAUGGGUACAUAGGCACUUUUAUGAUUAUGUGAUUGAUAUGGAAUCGAAACUCGUUAUCGUAAUGUUUUAUAUAUAAUUGAAUUGAAAUCUCUAUAAAGUAGAGAACAUGAAGUAGAGAACACUCAUGCAUAAAAGUCUUUAUGUCCACGCUUAAUUUAGUUGAAUGACUAAUGGACAAGUUAUUAUGUUCCUAUAAGUAGAGAACAAUGACAUUCUCUUGACCCUAUUAAUAGUAUAUUAAUAGUGGGAAGUUUCUAAUGUAAUAUGUCCAUUGGCAUUACUUUUAUGUGUUUACUAAUCUAGUGGAUGCUAGCAAGUUUCAUUGUUUAUUCUAUUGAGAAUUCUGAUCAAUAGAUCGAGAGUGACAACAUAGUGUGCUAUGCCAUGAUGUUUGAGAUAUAUUGGACCAUGGACUUUGCUUGCUUGCCAUUGUGCUCAUUCGCAGACGCUUGUGAUGGUAGCUCCCUACAACCCGGCACUCCGGAGUUGGCCUACGCGACAGUUGCUCGCCCGUGCGGGAUUGGGUGCCGAAGUGGAUUGCCGUGGGGAGUGUAUACUACCACAGGGCCAUUAGGCGUAGCUGAAGCCGGACUACCUUGGGUAGGUCCUGAUGAAAUAAAAGUAAAACUCUAAAUGAAAUGGAAAUAGAAGUACUAAAUGACAUUUGACAGUAAUGAAUGAUUAUCAGUUAUAGUGUACAGUAGUUACUUACACAUCCAUGCUUAUGUUCAUGCUUACAAUAGUUGCUAUGCUUCUAUUAUUCAGUUAACUCAUUACUGUAGAUAUUGUUAAUUAUAUGUUAUAUACAUGUUCCUUAUUUGUUAGCAUUGGAAAUGCAUCAUGGAAUUAUUGCUUUAUUUUCAUUUAGUACAUCAUGAGCCUAGUAGUGUAAUUCGCCGAGGCUGGCGGCUUACCCACUGGGAACUAUUGUUAAUAGUUCUCACGCCCUUUUUAUGAUUAUUUUUACAGAGCCUUCUACAGAAGAGGCUAGGGACCGUGGCAAGGGAGUCGCGUCUAGCUAGACAUUGCUAGGAGCUUGCUAGUCGAUCACCUCGUUACUCGGGCUACGGCCGAGGGUGAUGUCCAGUGUAUAGAGAGACUACCAUUGUACAGAUGUUGUGUGUACCCUGUGAUGUAUAUGAGUAUUGGAUCCAGAUGUUAUAGUUUUGGUACUUUCUUUUGUACUUAUAUUUUGAGUUGGACACUCUUGUUCUUUUGUUGAUAGUCUUAUUGACUUAUACAUGCUCUGAUGCCAGGAUAGGAAUUUUCUAUGUUUUCUCCUAUCGACUUGUUUUCUUAUAGACGCCUUAUAUACUGUAGGUGUAUGGCGGGUCUGUGCACGUACAGGAUAUGCUUCCGUUGGUACCCGGGCGUGACAACUGAUCGGAAGUGUCGCAACCUUGCCGUACUGCCGCUGAUUCUUGCCGCCGGCCAGGGGUCCCGACCCCUCCCUCCAGGUGCAGUGACCACCUUCUGUCCGGGGCUCGGGCAGCAGUGCCUCCGGCAGCUCUCCAUAGUGCCCUAGCUCGAGUAGGCUCCAAUCCGUGGUUGCUCUGUAGCCGAUUAUCUUUUUCGACCACCUAAGACCUCGGCGAGUCUCCGGAGCGUUAGCACCACACUCCUGAGACCCUGUGGAGUGUCGUGCUCACCUUCGCUGUGAUCAGUGAAGCUCCGUUGUGCGUGAUGACCGUGGUCCCUUCCAGAACCAAGUUUUUGGUGGUUUUUUUAUUGUUCCGCUAUUGUCCAGCCACCAUUUUCACUCCGGACAGCGAGCAUGGGCAUCCUUUCGUCGAGUCGAUCCAAAUCAACUGGUUGGUUGGAUCCAUUGCGACAUGGAUCAAGGUAACGAGCUCUAAACUCAUCGCUUAUGCAUUGAUUGUAUAGCAUUUAGUGUUAUUAUGGAUUAUUUGUAUGUUUUAUGCUUUGGGAACGUCGUGUGCUACCUUGAACAGCGUGAAGUCACCGUUAGCAACCUCUUGACUGAUCGUCAAAGGUCUGGGAACAUUUGUGGAGUUAGAAUGUGGCUCCACGGAGUCGUUCGGUGAAAAUUCGCCGAACGAACAAGGUUUAUUGGUGAGUUCUAGUAUUCUAAAGUUGUGGAUUGGUUGAGAACCCUGCCAUGCCUUAUUGGCUCGUUGCUACUGCCAUUCUCGAAGUACGAAGGUGGUAGGAUAGCGGCAAGAGGGUUUCGGAGCCUGUUUCGUAAAUUUCGAAAGCCAGAUUCGGCAGUGUUCUAUUUUAGUGAUCCUUUAGCUUUUGUUGUUGGUGGUUGGUGCCCGGGACACCUAUUUUAGUGUAUUUGGGGACAACGGUUAGUUAUAGAUGGGAUCAAAAAUUUUCGGAGCUGUUUGUCUGUCUUGGGGGCGUUCCGGCAAGUUUUCGAAGUUCCGGCGGGUUUUCGGUUAACGAUUUUGGUAACCAUUUGUUUGGUUUGUUUGGGUGUCUCUUUUGGGUAGAGCUUGACUUUAUAGAUCUUUCAUAGGUCCGAGGGUCGGCUUCACGUGUUCUGCACUCCAGGUUCUUGGUAGUACAGGUGGGUGCUGCGAGCUGGUAGUCGAUGAGAUUGUUUCACUUUCCUCUCCCCUGUUAUAACACUUGUAUAUCAGUAUCUUAGUCUCUACAUGUCGGUUGCCUUUGUUUACGGUUCGUUUAUUUAUAUCUUGGUAGUUACAUGGUGAUAGUUGUUCAUAGACAUGUAGAGCAGGCUUGUAUAUAUUAUAUAUCUGUGGACCUCGGGUACAUGCAACACAUCGACUCCUUUGUCAUGUAUUUCGAUCUGGUUGAUCAUGAUUCGACGUUGUACCCCCUUAUAUCUGGCUUUGGCCAAGGCACCGAUUUUCUGCUGGCUUUUGCAUUGAGCAUAUCAGCAUAAUUUAGUCACAUCACUGUGUGUAUUUCUAGACACCAGGUCGGCUUGGCCACCGAUCAGGGGUGUACUUAUUUAGAUAGGUUGUCAGUGCACACAUGAAUCAGGUCAGUGUAUGCAUUGUGACAGACAACGCAUGAGGUCUGCGGACAAAUAUGACAGGCAUCAGAUUGGGUUUCAUUUGGAUUAUUUACCUUUAAGGCAUAUGUUCUGUUGAGGUUUUGAUACAGUAGUACUUUUAUUCCUUACUCAUUUACUGUUCUGCUAUUACUACUGUUGUUCGCUUAUGUAUCAUGUCAUAUUCAUGCAUACCUAUUGUUCUAUCUCUUGUGUUUUUCAGUGAAUAUGAUUUGCCUUCGUGACUCUAUCGUACCCACUGGGAAACCUUGUUGUGGUUUCUCACCCCCCAUUUCCCCAGGUGGCACGAGCGAGGAGUUGAUUCUUGGUGCGACGGGAAGAUGUCCUAGCUAGCCUGUAUUAGCGAUCGUCACCCUGGUUAUUUUUCUUUCCACAUUUAAUAGUUUAAAUAAUAAAAUGGUUGAGUUAGAUGAUCACUGUUAUUGCUUGAAUAAUCAUGAACUUGUAUGAGUUGGUAUUUUCUAUUAUGCAUGCAAUCGAAGUUAAUUUUAGGAAUCUUCAGUACUUGGAUUUAUGGAUUCACGCCUUGUGGUUUUCUACCUCUCGAGGUAGUCGAUUUUCAAAGAUGGAGUUUCCGUGCGGAAAACAAUUUUAAAAGAUUUUCGAAUGAUUUUCAUGGAUGAACAAAUAGAGUUUAAAAAUAAAGUUUCCAGAUAGGGAGCACUUUUAAAUAGGAUGAUUGUUGUAAUGUGCAUCGCAUCAUCCAGCGUCUAAGGAGUGUUUAGAGGCAUACAUCAUCUUUAAGGUUGAUCAGCUGUAUGAAAUUGCAUCGCAUCAAUUGCUUGUAGAUUGGUAAAUGUAGGUUAUGAGUUGUGAUCCUAUUGUUGUUAUCGUUCGGUACGCUGUGCAAAUACAAAGAAGAUUCUAUUUGUGUGGGCUGAGAAAUUUUGUAUUUGUGGCGGGUCUGUACGCCACGUGGGCCAAGCUGUUUAAUAUAUAUAUAUAUNUCUAUCGCACACCCAAAAUUGUGAUGCCAUUUUAUUCCCACAUCUGUUCACAGAAGGGCAUUCAUGCUCAUUUUUCAAUGUCUUUACCUACAAAUAAAUGCAUCAAGAGUUACAUGCAAUAAACAACAAGUCUCUAGAAAACUUAUAUUUAAGUAAUAAAACUAUAAGAUGUAGAAGAUAAUUAUACCUCGAAUGUUGUUUUGUCUUGAAGAACAGAUGCGUGAAGUCUCCAGCCACACCUUUCGUUUGCGCAUUUCACAGUCAUUCUCCUUUUAUCACUUUUUUCAACAUUAAACUCGAAGCCAUUUAAUACUGCAAAAUGAUCUAAGGAUCUCUUCAAUGUCUUUUUGUUAGGAUACUUCAUACCAACUUUCAUGAUUGGAUUAUCCUUAUCAAACUCAUAGAUUUCACCAUGAGAUUCCACAUCAUCAUUAUUAGAUUCACUGCUAUAUUUAGUAUGAAGACUACCGUCAGAUAGUAUAGCCUCGGAAUCCUCUUUAUAAAGUUCCUUUUCAUAAUUACUCUCUACUCCUGUUGAGCUCCUAAAUCUAUUGUCCAUUUGAGUUCUUUCUAAGGGAUCCACAUUUAUAUUAACACCCUGUGAGCUACAUCCUGUUUCAUUGCCAUCACCAAUGCUAGUAGUCGACACAUUAAGCAAGUUAAUUUUUUCUCCUAAUGUCACAUAUAAUAUCAAUUGCUUUUCAUCACUAUGCAUACUAAAAAUUGACAUUAGCUGUGCAUCAUUGCUAAUUACCACAUACUCUCCACAUUGUGCAACAUACCAUAAAAUCAAUAUUUGACCUUCACCCCACUUAAAAUUUUUUCUAAUAUCAUCAAAGAUUUCAAGUAGACUGUAGCGAUCCAUGUCUAUGUAAAUAGUGUCUUGGUAUCCACCAGCAUACCUUCUACCCUUGCCUUUUUUCAUGUCUUCGAAUUGUCCUCCAUAUCUGAUUGUUAAUUUAAUGGUUGUAUCAGAGUCCAUCCUGUGGAUCACAUUUAAUAAUGUCAUUAAAUUUGAUAAAAAGUAAUUAAUGCCAUUAAAUUUGAUAAAAACACAAAUAAAUUUUUAUAAAAGAUUACUAAUUAGGUUGAUUGAACUACUUAAUUUUAAAAAUAAAAAUUAAGGGGUAUUAAUUAAAGAAACUAAAGAAAAUGUAGAUGGAGGUGGUCUGUUGAGAAUGGCCUUGAAAGAUCUCCAUAGAUAUUUGUCUUAAAAUGAUAAAUAUAAACAAAGUGCACACUCAAUAUGUGAAAAAAAAGUUCAUGAGCUUAUAGUAAAGAUCUUAUGCUAAUGUGAGAAUAAAAUGAGAACAAUGAUAUUAAAAUGGAAUUAAAACCAAUAACAAAUAGAUCUUACCCAGCACAUUUCCUUACAAAUAUAAAUCCUUCAAAAUGUGAUUAAGGGAAAAAGGAGCUCAAACAUGCCCGAAAUUAUAGAAUCUUGCUGAAGAAGAGCAAAAUAAUAGGAAUGGAGAGAGGGCAAGAUGGAGGAGGGAGGUUUCUUGUUGAAGAAGAAACCCUCUGAUGGUGCAGGCAUUGGAAAAGUGGAGAGUAAUUUUCCAGCAUUAAUUAGUUAUUCCCGCCAAAAAUAUUAUCCUAACUUUUGGGGGGUAAAUUCGUCAUUAUAUAUUUUAACUGUUAUUUAACUACAUAUUAACCCAGGUUGAGUGAGGCACCGUUAACGGUAAGGGCAAUGACGAUAAUUUUAUGUGUUUAAAGGGGUAUUUACGAUAUUUUGAAGUUUAGAGGGGUAUUGACGAAAUUUGCAAGUUUGACAGGGGCACUGAUGAAAUUGCCCCAUAUAUAUAUAUAUAUAUAUGGUAUAAUAUGACUAAAUCUCUUAACUCGGCUAUAACAUGUUUGGCGGUGGCUAGGUCCCAAAGGUUAAAAAGGUUAAGCAUGGUACAAAUAGAGUAGUUCUAUGAUGGCCUAGGAAGUGAAGCAUCAUAGUUGGUAUCAGAGCCAAUCACUAGCCAAAAGUGUGACGUGAGUCUCGAUUGAGUUAGGUCAUACAGCAAGUAAAGCGCGGCUCCCUGGUUGACGAUCAUUAUGAGUGGAGCGGGGCUUCCUACAAGGUCGGCUAAGGCUAGCGAGACAAGUCUCACAUUACCUGGUGCUUGUUAGUAUGUUUGAGCCUGACAAGGACAUCAGGGCUAAAAAAGGGAAGGAGUGUACAUUCGUAGGAUUUGGACUAGUCCCACAUAUAAAGUAUAAUAGGACUAAACCUCUUAACUUGUCUAUAGCAUAUUUGGCAGUGGCUAGGCCCCAAAGGUUAAGAGAGUUAAGCAUACUAGAACUAGAAUAGUUCUAGGAUGGUGACCCCCUGCGAGCAGGGCGGCACAGUUGGUAUUAGAACCAAUCACUAGCAGGAAAUGUAAGAUGAGUCUCGGCUCAGCUAGGGUCGUAUAGCGAGUAGAGCGCGGCUCCUCACCCGACGAACAUUGUUAGUGAAGUGUGGCUCCCCACAAGGUCGGCUAAGGUUAGCAAGAUGAGUCUCACAUUGUCUGGUGCUUGUGAGUUUCUUAACCCGGCUACAACAUUUGAGCAGUGGCUAGACCCAAAAGGCUAAGAGGGUUAAAUAUGUUAGGGCUAGAGUUGUUUUAGGAUGGGUAGCCCCCUAGAAACUGGAGCGUCACAUGUCAUUGACCAACAAAGUCAAACCAUAUCUCAAGAAUCAAAUAAUAUCACCGACCAAUCUGGUGAUCUUCCAAUGUCUCAAGGAUAAUAAAGUGUAACCGACCAACGAGGUCAAUCAAUUUAUAUGAAGUGUCAUGGACCAACGCGAUAAAUCAAUGUAUAUGAAGUGUCACCAACCAACAAGGUCAACUAAUAUCAAGUACUCGUGCAAUAUCAUCGAAAGAUGUAUAUGUCUACUAAUAUCUAACAUCGAUUGAUUAGAUCAUAUAACAACCGCUCUACAACUCAAUCAUGAUGAAUAUAGAUAAAAGAACAACUAUAGAGAAAACAAGCUAUGAAGUCAAGUGGUGUACAAAGAGCUCAACAAGUAUCAUGCAAUCAAAAUGAGAUGAUAGGGAAGAAACAAUCGAGCAGACACCACCUUUUCGACUUUGGAUCGAAACACCCACCUAUAUACCGAAUAACUGAUUCCGCAACUAUGCCAAUGCCUCUAAGCGCCAAAGGACUUAGAUAUAAACACUAAGUGUAAUAACUAUAAAUUUUGAAGUAGAAUUAUUUAAAUUCAAAUUAGAAUCAGAAUUUUUAAUUUAUAUACAAAAUGAGGGGAAUGAUAGAGGGAAGGUAAUUUCGCAAAUCAGAAAUCAUUUCUAAUGAAGCAAAAACACUACUUUUACGGUCAGACAGUGCCGGAUGUCGUGAUGCAGUCCAUUUUUAGACUUGACAUGUCAAAAGUGUGCAAAAGCAUGAAAAUCGAGAAGGCACGACAAUAGAAAAAAUCAUAUUUUUGAGAAGAGUUCUCAUAUUUUUAUGUAUCAUUUUGUGUAAAAUUGCAAGUGAAUGUAUCUUUGCACAAAUGCACAUGCUGCUAAGGGCUCAGUACAAAUUAACGAUGAUUAAAAGGUGUUUUUGCAUUUUGACUAAUAGGUUAUAUAGGUCACCUAAGGUUUGAAACCCUAGUACCCUACAAUCUCUCCCUCUCAAGCCCUUUAGCUGUCGCAGCCGCCCUCCUCACCUAUGUCGCCACCUCCUUAUCUUCACCCCAUUGCCCUCGAGCCGCCGGAGGUCUGUAGGUCCUUUCUUAAUUCAAAAGGCACUUUCUCUCUCUCUCUCUCUCUCUCUCUCUGAGCAAGGUGGCAUGAGACCCCACUCCUCUCGAUUAUGCCGCCUCGGAUCACCGUCGCCGACUUUUAGAGGUUCCAACAGCCCUCUUCCGGUAGCCCUGGCAUCGUCGAGCCCUCUCCUAGCCCAUAGAGCAUUUUUAUAGCAGAUUUGUGGAGGAUUAGGUCAUAGCUCUUGUUUGGCUAUCCCCUCUUGUCCGGCCAUUGCCACCGAUGCUAGGGAACCCCAGAUGACCCUCCGGUGUCGCCUAUCGAUCCCCGGCCUUCUCGCUUGCCGAAACUUUUUAGUGCUGCCCGAACUUAUCUGGGGUUGCCACACUGCUUAGAGCGCCGCCGUCGUCUCCUGCCGCUAGCUUCAAACACCACCGGCCCUCCCUCAUUGGCCGCCCCCUAUUCUGAUCGGCAACUAUGCCUUCUGGCUGCCGGAACCCUAGUUGCGAUUUUCUUGACACUAGAUCUAGCCGAGCUAGGGUUUUUCUUGCCUGCUUCUCUGUUCCGACCAUUUUCAUUACCGACGGCUCCUCAAAAGGUGAGCAUAGUACUCCACAGGUCCUGUGGACAUUCGUGCUCAACUUCGUCGCAAUCCGAGGGGCCUCGAAUUGCGGGUUCUGCUAGCUAUAAGCAUUUUGUUACUAACGACUUCAGUAGAUUGGUAUACUUAAACUUUUGCGAAAAUCUAAUUCGUUUAGACUACUUUCGUUUCUAAAAUAAUAGGAAAUUUGUGAUAUAGUAGCUAGACAUCAAAUUUACUUUAACUGUAUCUACCUGCUGCAAUGCACGGGUUACUACAUUAUAUAUAUAUAUAUAUAUAUAUAUAUAUAUAUAUAUAUAUAUANUGAUUUUAUCGAUGUCCAAAUUGGGGGGUAAGUUGAUGUGAUGCUUUAGUAUGCAUAUAAUUAUUAAUUAAAUUCCAAAUACGUAAUACCGUAUAUUUUUUACAGGUUGAGGAACAAAGAUGGUGCAACUACUUUGCCUGGAUAGAUGAUUUUCAACACAGCACAAUUGACCUUAAGUACCAAAUCCAGAUGCUGGAGGAAAAUAUAGAUAGAAGAAUUAUGAAGUUGAAGGAGAAAAUCCUAUUCUAUCUAAAGCUUGUACUUUAUAUACUAGUUCCUGUAAUUUUUUACAAAAUCCUCUUCUAGGUGGGGAGGUCGAUCAUGUAUUGAACAAUUCAUCUAUAAAAUAUAGUAAUAUUUCUUCUUAGUAAAUUUUUUAGAACAAUUUCUCUUUGUAUACAAAAACAAAUAUUGUGUAAGAAGUUUUUAUGAGAAAUCUAGAAUUCAAAAUAAACUAACCGAAGAUAGGUACGCUAUUAAUAAAUUAUUAGAAGAUAGGUAAGCUCGAAAAUUUAUAUAUACUAGAAAAUAAUAUGUGAAAAAUUAAAAUAGCAUACACUAUAUCUCAAUUAGUUUUCAUGUAGUAGAAAGUAUUGAACAUCAUAAGUACAAGAGAAUAAAGCAUAUUAUGGUUGAAAUCUUUUGAACAAUUGAAAUAGACAAAAAAUCAAUCAUGUAAAUCUUUGUAAAGCCAAGUAUAGAAACAUCUGAAAGUAUUUUCCUCACUUGCACCAUACUUUUAACAGUGCAUGUAUCAUCUCAAAAUGAUAACAAUAUGUCUUAGAAUAUAUACCAAAUCAUUACAAUCUAAUCCUAAAAGCAUAUGUGCAACAAAAUAGCAGCCUACGCCUUGCAAAAAGGUGCAUGUUUAACUUUAAAAAAGAGCCAUUUCUAUAUAACAUGUAUAAACUUAGGAACUGAAAAAUAGGACGGCAUCCCAAUCUGUAGUUGUUGUUUCUCCAGUGGUUGUAGCUCCUUCAAUGGGUAUAGCUUCACUACUAGAUGCAAGAUUUGUCAUUUGUACUUCAGGAGAUGUAAGCCCUUCAAUGCUAUUGGUUCCAGCAAGUGGUUGGGUGUAUGUUGCUCUUUUCCUGCCUCUUUUACUUGGAUCAUGGUAGCUGCAAUAAGCUGGUAAUGUUGAAUUUUUUUCAUUGCUUACAUGGACUCCCUGCCUACACUUAUUUCAUGAAUAUUGUAAAAGCUUGCAUGCACUGACAAAAUAGAUAAUUACCAAUAAGUAAAAUUCUAUACCUAGAUUGGGUUGAGGAAUUAUAAUUUGUAGAGUUGAAUGUUGCAUGUGAUCCACCAUCAGCUUGAGAUGAAGGCUCUGCGGUAGAAGGCAUAGGAUUUUUGCAAGACUUAGCAUGGUGCCCAAAUUGGUUGCAUCUUUUACAUUUGUGUCUCUUCUUUGUCGGCUCAUCCGCUGCUCUAAUUCUCUUNNNNNNNNNNNNNNNNNNNNNNNNNNNNNNNNNNNNNNNNNNNNNNNNNNNNNNNNNNNNNNNNNNNNNNNNNNNNNNNNNNNNNNNNNNNNNNNNNNNNNNNNNNNNNNNNNNNNNNNNNNNNNNNNNNNNNNNNNNNNNNNNNNNNNNNNNNNNNNNNNNNNNNNNNNNNNNNNNNNNNNNNNNNNNNNNNNNNNNNNNNNNNNNNNNNNNNNNNNNNNNNNNNNNNNNNNNNNNNNNNNNNNNNNNNNNNNNNNNNNNNNNNNNNNNNNNNNNNNNNNNNNNNNNNNNNNNNNNNNNNNNNNNNNNNNNNNNNNNNNNNNNNNNNNNNNNNNNNNNNNNNNNNNNNNNNNNNNNNNNNNNNNNNNNNNNNNNNNNNNNNNNNNNNNNNNNNNNNNNNNNNNNNNNNNNNNNNNNNNNNNNNNNNNNNNNNNNNNNNNNNNNNNNNNNNNNNNNNNNNNNNNNNNNNNNNNNNNNNNNNNNNNNNNNNNNNNNNNNNNNNNNNNNNNNNNNNNNNNNNNNNNNNNNNNNNNNNNNNNNNNNNNNNNNNNNNNNNNNNNNNNNNNNNNNNNNNNNNNNNNNNNNNNNNNNNNNNNNNNNNNNNNNNNNNNNNNNNNNNNNNNNNNNNNNNNNNNNNNNNNNNNNNNNNNNNNNNNNNNNNNNNNNNNNNNNNNNNNNNNNNNNNNNNNNNNNNNNNNNNNNNNNNNNNNNNNNNNNNNNNNNNNNNNNNNNNNNNNNNNNNNNNNNNNNNNNNNNNNNNNNNNNNNNNNNNNNNNNNNNNNNNNNNNNNNNNNNNNNNNNNNNNNNNNNNNNNNNNNNNNNNNNNNNNNNNNNNNNNNNNNNNNNNNNNNNNNNNNNNNNNNNNNNNNNNNNNNNNNNNNNNNNNNNNNNNNNNNNNNNNNNNNNNNNNNNNNNNNNNNNNNNNNNNNNNNNNNNNNNNNNNNNNNNNNNNNNNNNNNNNNNNNNNNNNNNNNNNNNNNNNNNNNNNNNNNNNNNNNNNNNNNNNNNNNNNNNNNNNNNNNNNNNNNNNNNNNNNNNNNNNNNNNNNNNNNNNNNNNNNNNNNNNNNNNNNNNNNNNNNNNNNNNNNNNNNNNNNNNNNNNNNNNNNNNNNNNNNNNNNNNNNNNNNNNNNNNNNNNNNNNNNNNNNNNNNNNNNNNNNNNNNNNNNNNNNNNNNNNNNNNNNNNNNNNNNNNNNNNNNNNNNNNNNNNNNNNNNNNNNNNNNNNNNNNNNNNNNNNNNNNNNNNNNNNNNNNNNNNNNNNNNNNNNNNNNNNNNNNNNNNNNNNNNNNNNNNNNNNNNNNNNNNNNNNNNNNNNNNNNNNNNNNNAAAUAUGAUCUCAACAUAUCUUUGGUGUAUAUUGAAUCACAGGAUGAAUAAACCUGAAACCUGCGAAUAACAUGAGAAUAGUUUACAGCGGUAGGCUCCGAUGUUACUGGUCCUUCGUGAAUUUAUUCAGAGACGCGAAAAAGAAGCCCAAUCUCUCUCUCUCUCUCUCCCCCCCUCUCCCACACCCCUCACAAGGCCACACCCCCCGUCUGCGCCCUGCGGCCGCUCCUCUUCUCUCUCUCCCGCUCCCACACCACUCACGAGGCCGCAUCCCCCCUGCGCCCUGCGGCCGCUCCUCCUCUCUCUCCUUCUCGCACACCCCUCACGAGGCCGCACCCCCCGCGUGCGCCCUGCGGCCGCUCCUCUCCCUCUUCGUACGGAAAGGGCCACACCCCUUUCCCUUGGUGUCGCCCUUCGCUUAAACGAGGCUCCGCGUCGCCCCUCUCUCAAACGAGGUUUUUUGAGACUCUUUUCUUCUUUUUUUUUUGCAACUCAAAAAUUAGAUCUACAAUUUCUUGCGUUAUCACAAUUUUUUUGAAAUAAAUUUGACCCACUUUUUUUCCCUGAUUUGUUCAUUUUUUUUUUGAAAUAAAUUAGAUCUACAACUUAUGAGGUAUUCUGGUGAUUUCGGUAACUUCAACCCACCUCGAAAAGCUCGUCCAACAACGGCAAGAAAUUGAAAUGAGAGGAAAAUACGCGCUCGCCCGGCCUCCAAUGGCGCAACCACGACGCACGCACACUCGAGCGGCCCACCAAAUCGACGUCAAAAAUCUCCUGAGCUCGAGCCAUGGUCUCCACCAAGCACACGAUUAAACUAAAGAGAGAGAAGAACAAGCGCUAAUUAUUCUCUCUCAGGUGGAUAGAUAUGGGGGGAGUAGGUGGUGUGGAUAACCACCAACCAAAAAGACACUACCACCCCCACCAACUCAACAAGCCAGCUGGAGUACCGGCACCUGAUUUGGUUAUCGGUACUCGGCCUCUCAGCCCGCAAGCUCCCACACAGGGUAUUGGUACCAGCCCGAUGCCAUACCGGUACUCAGCAUCAAAUUGGCACAACCUGAGAGCAUCAGUUCUAACCAUACACUGGGGUACUGGUACUCCCCUGUAUGGUACCGGUACUCAACACUGAAGUCCUGCACUUUGCGGAUUUCAGCGUCAGAACUCCACUCUUGCCUCGCGUCGAGUCUGUUUUGCAUCCAUUUUGCGCCAAAACGACUCCGACUUGUCCCGACACUCUUAAGAUGUGUCGGCAAGCCUCAGAUAUUGAAAUCUCACUGGCAACCAAACAUCAGGGAUACUACAAUAUGAAUUUGACUUUAAAACCUUGAAAUGUUGAAUUUAAAAUCUGAACUGGAAUUUAAAUUUCAUACUUCGAGGAAUUGUCCAAUAGUGUCCUAUCUUCUCUUUAUAGAUGACUCCAUUAUAUUCACCAACGGCUCAAAGAGCUCACUUAAAAAUUGGACACAGUUUAUCAUAAAAUAUGAAUCAUCCUCAGGUCUGAAAAUCAGCAGAGAUAAGAGCUGUUUCAUAAUGGCAAAGAAAACUAUACCUACAAGUGCUUCUAUUGUUUCCUUGGCUCUCUUCCCUGAUAUACCUGAGCCUAAGGGUUUCCUUAUUCAAAAGUAUCAUAAAAUUAGUUUAUUUUUUAGCACUAGUAGAUAAAGUAAAAUUUAAAAUUUAAAAUCUAAAUUUAAAUAUUAAAAUUUAAAAUUAAAACUAAAAACUUAAAUUUAAAUUUUAAUAUAAAAUUUGAAAUUCAAAACUUAAAUUUAAAAUUAAAAUUUGACAUUUAAAAAUUAAAAUUUAAAAUAAAAUUUAAAAAUUUUAAUUUUAAUGAAAAUUAAAAUUAAAAUUAAAAAUUAAAAUUAAAAAUUAAAAAUAUAAAACCUAAAAGUUUAAAUUUCAAAUUAUAAAUUUCAAGAUUUAAAUUUUAUCUUAACUUUAAAAUUUGGCCUUUAAAAUUUUGAAAAUUAAAAUUUGAAAAUUGAUAUUUAAAAUUUAAAAUUCAAUAUCUAAAUUUAAAAAUUUAAAUGAAUUUAUAACUAAAAUUUAAAAAAUUAAAAAUUAAAAAUUAUUAUUUAAUAUUUGAAAUAUAAACAUUAAAAUCUAAAUUUAAGUUAAAAAUUUGAAUAUAAAAUUUAUAUUUAUUUUUAAAUUUGAAUUCAAAAUCAAAAUCAGGUUGUUUUGAUGGAACAAAAAAAAAUCAUAUUUUAAGAAACAAAUUUUAGCUAUUUUUGAUUUUGCAUAUUUAAAAUAAAAAACUGAUUUUAAAAAUUAGAAUUAAAUUUUUUAAUAAUAAAUUAUGAAAUACUCUGGCACCCUGUUUGGAUCGGAUAUAAAGGGAGGGAUAAAGGGGUUAUCCUCCCUUUAUACCCAAACAAAAAUUUGAUAUGGUGGGAACCCAGUAAGGGUAGGAACAAUAGUUCCCACCCGAAUGGGAACAAGCUUGGCCACUUGGGUAGAGAGAGAGAGAGAGAAUUUUGUUUUAAAAUUUAGAAUUAAAAUUUUAUAAUUUUAAAAUUAAAAUAUAGAAUUGUAAAUUGUAAAUUUUAAAGUUUAAAAUUAAAAAUUGAUAUUAUAAUUUUUUAAAUUUUAAAUUUGAUAUUUUAUAUAUUUUAAAUUUAAAUUUGGUCUUAAAUUUAAAAUUUAAAUUUAUAAAUUUGAAUAUUUAAUUUUAAAUUUUAAUUUCAAAUUUUAAAAUUAAAAGUUCAAAUUUUUAACUUUAAAUUAUGAGUUAAAUUAAAAUUUAAAUUUAAUUAUAGAAGUAAUAUCAUUAUUUUCUAUUUAUAACCAACAACUAUUUUUCUUAUUCCCAAUAACCAUCUAAGGGCUUUUUUUGCAUUUAGCCCCCUGGCAAAUUUUUAUUUUAAAAAUAGCCCUGUCAAAAUUUAAUUUGUAAAAAUAGCCCUAGACCUGCCAUGCAGGCGUCACGUCAGCGCCACGUGGGCGGAGCUGGGGGCGGUAGUUAAGGUAAACACGGUGAAUGGUUCACCGUGUUUGGUACGUAUUUUUUGUAUAUUGAAAAAAGAAAUAGGGAAUUUGUAUUCCUUUUCUUCUCUUUUUCAAAAAUCCGAAUCCGAACCCGAAAAUUAAAUUAAAAUCCAAACCCGGAUCCGAACCCGAUAGAUUUUAAAAAUCCAUACCCAUAUCCAUAUCUAACCAAAAACUCGAAACCCGAACCUGAACCCAGCGGGUUUUAAAAAUCUAUACCGUUGGAUGAAAAUCUAAAAAAUAAAAAUUAUUAAAUAUUUUAUAUAUUGUAUAAUAUAUAUAUAUAUAUAUAUAUAAUUUAUUCGGAUUUGGAUUCGGAUAACAUUUCGGAUAUUCGUACCUAUUGACAUCUUUACUCCCUAUUCCUCUUUUCAAUAAAAAUACGUACUACAUGGUGAAUGGUUUACCGUGUUCAACUUAACACACGGUCCCGGCCUUGCCCGCGUGGCGUUGACGUGACGUCUGCGUGGCAGGCCCAGGGCCAUUUUUGCAAAUUAAAUUUUGACGGGGCUAAUUUGAAAAUAAAAAUUUGUCAGUGGACUAAAUGCAAAAAAAGCCCACUAUCUAAAUAUAAUUUUUCUAAUUUCAGCUUAUACUCAUAUUUUUAUCCAAAUAAAAAAAUAUUUUUAUUCUUAUAAAAAUUUAUACUCGUAUCUAUUUUUUGUAUAACUAGUUCCUACUAAUUUUCGAACUAAACGAACCCUGAAGGAGAAAUUACUUUUGUUUUAAAAUGACUUUUCACUAUUUAGGCGGAACACCAACGAACCCUCUUGACGCAACGUGCCCCGUUUUUGGUCGAAAGAGCAAAGCGGGAAAUAGGAGGAGCAAAACCCUGAAAAUAGAAAGAGCAAAACCCUGGGAGCUCGCUCUCACCUCUUCCUUCUCCCCCUCUAGGGUUUCGGCAUUUCGCGAGCGUCCGAAGCUUUGUCGCCCAUGGCGAGCGCCGCGGCGGCCACCACCCAAGCGGCGGCGACGGCGACGGCGACGGCGGCGACGGCGACGACGAACCCUAAACUCGUGGAUGAAUCCCUCUGGUGGGAUCCCUUCGUCCUCCUCUACGACGACCUCGACCGAGCCCCUCUCUCCGACGAGCUUCCUCACGUUCUGGUACACAUACGCCUCUCUCUUCACUUUCCCCUACCCUACGAUCUGUCUUAUACGUCAAGUAGUGAGUUGAUCUACAAGCGCUUCCGAUUUCUUGCAGGUUAACAAGAUCAAGAACAACCGCUCCUGGUUCUUGGAAUCCCUCACGCGCUUUAAACCCCCGAACGAGGUAUCGAGGAGAGCUCUUGAUUCCCCCGAGUUGAUUCUAGGGUCGCAGCGCUUGGUCAUAAAGGCCGAGCUCAAAGAAACCGCCCUCCGCGCUAGCAAAUGCCUGGUAGUUAAUGCAGCUUUUGAUUCUUUUCUGAUUCAGUAGUAGGAUGUGCUUUUUGCAAUCUUUACUUGUGAUUGUAGUUUGCCAGUUAAACGAAAUUCUGGUAAAUUAGGCAAGAUGGAUAAUAAUUGGCUGAAUUACACUAUCAUGCACUUCCCUAUAGUUUUUUUUUUCCCAUUUUCUUCACCCUGCUCUUUUUUUAUUUUCAGAACUAUCGUUUUUUGUCAAUCUCUAUACUACUAGCAAUAAACCUAUUAGUUUAGAUGGAAGCUAGCAACUCCAUUAAAAAGCACUGAUUGAAAGUAGCAGAACAUAUAUGCAGCUUAUUUUGACAAGAAAAAAGGAAACAAUUAUAAAUAGCAAGAAAAAUAAUUGAAUUUUAUAAUUUGAUAGAAGCUUUCAAGGCAUCUUUGUAGGGGGGCUCAUUUUCCUUUCAUUCCUACUAUCUAACUGAUGCCUCUUAAUAGAGUUGUUUGUAUCUUUCUAAAUAAUAGAUAUGCAGUGUGGUGUGGAGAUUGGAGAGAAAAUAACAAUUUAUCUAUUUAGUGAUGUGUUUGAGAAGAGAAAAUAGUGUAGGGUAGUAAAUGAGAAUAAAUGUAUAGUAUAAUGUAAAGAUUGAUAAAAAAAGGGAUAAUUCAAUUGUGUCUCGGAAAAAAAAAAUAGCAGUGUGGCAAUUGAAAAUAACACUAUAUUGUAGUAGGAUAUAAUAAACCCGGUAAUAGUUUGAUCAGUAAAAAGAUAAAUACACUAUGUAGAAGAAUUUUGGCAAUAAAACUUCUCAAGCUAUCAUAUUUCCUUGUAGAGGAAAUGAUUUUAGAAAGAUAGCAUAUAAUUCCUCUAAAGGCAAGUAAUUAACAAAAUUAUGGACAAGUUUGAAUAUGGUUCAUAUUUCAUAGCUACUUCAGACCAUGGUGCUUUUCAUCAAUGCUUAUGUGGUAAUAAAUAAUUUGAAGAAUUAUUUAGACAAUAUAAAAAAAUCUUGAGAAUCAAUAAAUUCUUGAAGAAAGUGGGAUUAUCUUGUAAUUCUUGUUACUAUGCUUCUCAUGUCAAUAUGUAAAGUAGGUUAUGAAUUUUAUGUGUUUUUAAUUGUUGGAGUCUUGGAGAUGAACUUGAACUUUUCUAUUAAUCAUGAAUAGUGGAACAUGAACCAUAAAUUAGAAUGGAACACAAGAGUCCUUGGAUAUGGAGUUUUUAAACUUAACGGUGGUUUUAAUGAACUCUAGGAAAACUGGAAGGACGUGCGAACAACGAUUUUGAGUCUUGAGUUUGCAGCUCAAUAUUUGAUAACUUUUCCAUCUCUUAGAUAGCUAUUUAUUUAAAUUCGCCUAUUGAAAAUUUCUUUUCUUGGGUGAUUUUGCUCAUUUUUGCCUUUAGAUCACUUUUUUAUCAAACUUUUUUUUUGCGGGGGGGGGGGGGGGGGGGGGGGGGGGGAGGGUAUUUUGUACCAAUUAGUUGCCAGAUCUACAUAAUCACAUUCACAAAUUUUGACAAUAAAGGGUAUAAACAUGGGGUGCUCUUUUUAUCUACAUUCAGAUUGUAGUCUAUAAAUGUAAACUGCUUUUUGAUAUCAUAUGGUGGUAUAGCAAUUUCUACUUUUAAUGCGUGUAAUGAAACUUAAUGAAACUGAUUUUUUUCUUUUGUUUGUUUAAAUAAAGGUGUGAACUAAAUGGUUUUGCUUUUUCUAGAAUUUAGAUGAGGUGCAAACAUACAUUAUUGUUGAAAGAUCCUUGGAGUUCAUUAUACCUGUUGACGAUAUCGAUGGUCAGGCGCUUUUGCAUUCGGUGAGUAAUUUCCUGAGUACUUCUCUUUACUGCUGCUUUUUAACCGUAUGUUCUCUCAUAUGAAUCUUACUGGUUAAAAAUAUUAAUAUAAUCAAAAUUAUGUUUUCUAAAAGUAAUUUACCAUAUGUAUUCAAAAUGUGAGCUCAAUUUUGUUCUCUUUGGUGUCAUAAAUGAGACCUGGCCUAUUGUUUUUAAAGUUGAGAAAUGCAAAUGCUUUCUAUUCUACAAGGUCGAUUGUUUGCUUUGAACAUUAUAAUUCUUAGACUUUUGCAAAAUCGAGUUGACGCACUUUUUGUGUAGGAGCUUCUAAACAAUGAGUUGGACCAAUAUCAUGAAUUAUGGUAGUGUAUUUACUAUUUAGAGAUCGAAUCUAGUGUUUUGGUGCUUACAAGGCCAUUUUAUUUUUAUCUGCAGUCAUUUUUUUCCCUCUCUAAAGCUUGACUGCUAAGUCUAGGAAACCACUAUGAUGUUUGAAUAUUUUUGAUAUGCGGUCACUUUGAUCAUGUUUCAAAUACCAUUCUGAUUGAUGUUAAGAGGUCCAUAAUUUUCAUCAGCAAGCUUCUUAUUCUCUGAACCACAUCCCAAACAUUUUAAAUCUGCCUAUAAUGAAUUUUAUGACAAUUGGAAGAUUUCUUGAUAAAGAUAUACUAAAGCUUUAUAAUGUGCAUGAUUUGCUAUUAGUUUUGAUGCAUUAUUUGUAAGGGCCAAGGAUUGCCAUGUCAAUGGCAUAGCUGUUGCCGGUAUGCUAGCAUUAUGGCACGACACAACAAUACAUUGGCAUUCGUUGGCACAUGUUUUUUUGGUUAAAUUUUCUCUUGAAAAUUUAGUUUUUUAGAGUGCUUCAAUACAUCUAAUGGCUAUCAAAAUGGUUUAUGUAUCGUAUCUCACACUAUUCUGUAAGAAUAGUCCAUUGUUUGCAUUGAAAAUCGUAAUCCUAAGAGUUGUGCAAAAUCCAACUGAUGCACUUUUUGUGUAGGAGCUUCCAUAUAAUGAAUUGGACCUAUCUCGUGAAUUAUAGUAGUGUAUGUAGAGAUCAAAGCUUGUGUUUUGAUGCUUUUAAGCUCAUUUUUACAAUUUUUAUCCACAUCCUCUCGUAAACUUGAUUGCCCGAGUCUAGAAAACCACUAUGAUGUUUGGAUAUUUUUGACAAGCUAUCUCACUUUGAUCAUGUUUCUAAUACCAUUCGAAUGGACGUUAAGAGGUCAAUAAAUUUGACCAGUUGACCUCUCAUUCUCUGAACCGCAUCCUAAACGUUUUAAAUCCAUCUGUAAUCAAUCUUAUGAUGAUCGGUGGAUUGCAUGGUAAAGAUGAACUAAAGUUGUAUAAUGUGCUUGAUUUGUUGUUACUUUUGAUGCAUUAUUUGUAAGGACUAAGGAUUGUCGUGUCACUGGCAAGGCCUGUGCCGUUGCCAGUGCCAGGAUGACACAGUCACACAGCGGUAUGGGACGUGCCAAUGUCGGCACGCUCACUUGCCAAUGGCACACAAUUGGCACAUUGGCACAUUGGCGUUCAUUGGCAUGGGUUUUAAUUAAAAUUUUCUAAAAAAUUUAGUGUUUUGGUGUGUUUAAAUAUAUCUAAUAGCUAUAAAAAUGGUUUAUAUAUUAUAUUUCACACAAUUUAGUGAUAAUAGGGUCCUAAACAUCUUAAUAAUUAAAAAAAAUCAUUUUACAUAUGUUAUGAAAGUAUAUGCAUGAAACCAAAACAAAAAAAAUAAUAAGGAUGAAAAUUUAUAGAAAAAACACUACCAUGUGUAAAUUCACUAGGUCUAAAUGAUGAAAGAAAUUGCAAAAGUUCUUAUUUUUAUUUUAUUCCACUACCAGUUUGUCUUAUUAUGUAAUGGAACUUACUAAUUACUCAAAAUGUUAGUAUAUUUACAAGAUCUAUAUAUUUUAAGUAUGCAAAAACUUAUGUAAAUCUUUUUACCUCAAAAAUCUCGAAAAGAUCUCAAAAAAGCAAAAAAACUAUUUUGUCGAUAUUGUAUUGGUAUGACCACGUGCCACAUGCCGACAUGGUCUCGGCAUGGUACAAAAUGGUGGCAUUGGGUGGCAUGGGCAAUUCUUGGUGUUAAAUUACGUGAAAAUAACCAUUAUUCUCCAAAAACUUAAGCUACAGAGAACGAUGUCUUUAAUAUUUGUAUUCUACGCUCCCCCUCAUGUUUGGGUUCAGGAGUUUUUGAUAGGCCCAGAUGCGGAAUUGAAUUAAAUAGGAGUAAAUAUAACCAAGCCACGAUAAGAAGUCGUAAGAACUCUCUUAAAGUAAUCAACCGAUCAACAAGGUCAAAUCUCAAAGAAGUGAUAAAUCAAGUAUAACUUGUCCUACUCUACAUGUCAUAUGUUAAUUGAUGAUGUAAAUUAGUUAUGAUCACCAUGAAGCAUACAAAGAGACAACUAGGAGAAUAGCUGACAUGAAAGAUAGCUAAGCAUGUAAAGAAGUGGUGUCAUCAUACGUUGUACUAAACAAAUGUGACAGAGCGAUUGAAACAUAAAGGAAAUCCGAGUAAAUUCAGCCAUACCGACAUCCGAAUUGAAGCACACCUCUAAUCUAAAUACUCGAGUCCUCGACUCGACUAGCCUCUAGGCAUUACUUGGACCUAAUCAAGAUCCACAAGGGCCACUCUUAGUACCCUAUAUGUGUUAUCAACACUAGCCACGACAUGUCCACGACACAACACGGGGCAUUCAAAACAUCAGUCCCAUUUACUUAUUUUUUGAAAUCGACUGGUUACCAAACCGGCACAUCAGGUCACUGAAAUAGCCCUUGAAGGGUCCUGAAUCAUGCCGUACAUCUCCACAACCAAACCGUUGUUCCAAAACGCACCAUUUUAGGUGUCGGGACAGUCACGAAAUUUGUAUUUUGAAAAGGGCUAUGGCCUCGAAAUUAGGUUGUAUUAGGCUUUGGAAUGCCUUUUUUCGGCAUUGGAACUAAACCACAACGCCCUUGUUGCCACUAGGGGCUUAAUCAGGUUGGCAAGCCAACAAGGCUCAGCCACUAAUUGUGGAUAGCGACUACGUCGGUUUCACGAAUUCGGGACUGAAACCUCGCAUUACCAACCAGUUACGACAUUUUAUGCAUUGAAUUGCACCACUUCAGCCUCGUAAGGGUUUCCGGGCCUUGGACCACCAGUUCAAAUGUCAAUCAACGAAGAUUGACGUUGCCCAUUAUACUACAUGUGAAAAGCGUCGAAACGGCCAAUUAUGCCAAAACACAAGCAAUAAUAAAAUUUUGUGAUAACGAAAUCGACUUUAGGGCACAUUACCCAAACUUCCACGAAUGGGAAGCCAACAAGCUGCGCGAGGAGGUCGACAUGGUUUGGGUCAAUCACGCACAAGAUUUGAGCCUUGUUAACGGUCGUCGACGACGGGGGAGGAAACUAUGGCUACGUAGAGAGGACUUGGAUACAACUGGCAGCACCACGACAGGACUAGGGAGGAGUAGCCCCAAGGGAGGGGUCCAAGGGGCCGUGCAUUGCCGGGAUGAGGUUGCAGCAGCGGUUGCUGGUUGAAAGAAGAGAUCCCGACCACGGGCUUGAAGAGGGAGCAGCUACCUAGUCGUAGGGAGCAAGAAAAGGGAAUCGGCGAUAGGCUCGGCCUUGGGGGAGGCUGAGUGCGGCUGAGGAGGUGUUGGUUGCUUGAAGGAAGGUGUCUUGGUGGUGGGGAGGCUGAAGAAGGGAGGCUGACUGCUGGGCUAACUCGAGAGGCCAAGAAAGCCAUGGUUACUGCUCUAUUUCGGCUGAUCCAAAUGGUGAGGGAAGUUGGCCAAGCGGUGGUGCGCCAAGAGGUGGUGCUCGUGUGGGACGCGGCAAUAGGAGAGGGAUUCGUGGCUAAAGAAGAGAGAAAGGGAAGGUGGCUAGGGUUUUCAAGAAGAGAAAACCCUAAUUUUCUUUUUUGCCGCCUUAUAUACGUCUUGCGGUGAAAUCACGCCGGAGCUCCCAAACUUAAAGAAACUUUGCUCCGCACAAUCUUUUCUUUGCCAACUUGCGUAUUGACCCUUCUGCUUCCCAAAGAAUUGGAAAAAAUCAUAUUAAAUGAUAGCCCUUUAUACACUAUGGUCCUCCGAAAAAUUUAACAUUUACAAAAUAGCCUCUGUUUCUACAAGAAUUGUUUGGCGAAAUACAAGGCAAUCUUACCUCGAGCCAACCUAUCAAAAUCUUACCUCAAGCCAACCUAUCAAAAUCUUACCUCAAGCCAACCUAUCGAUGGAAUAUACGUGCCAAAUAAAUGAUAGUUCAUAAAUGUGGAUAUAAUCAAUGAAAUCGGAAAUAGCUGGUACUUAAGAUAAAGUGAGAAAAAUGUCUAACUGAAGUAAGGAGUUAGUUUUUAAAGAAUCUGGGUAAAUGUUGCCAUUAGUUAAUUCGUUUGUUGUCGUGCUUAGUUUUCUUCGUGUCCCGUUCAGUUUGUCUUUCUAAAACUACACAUGAAAGGCACACCUGAAAUGUGCUUUAUGUCUGCAUACUAGGCUAAUUUUAUUACUUCAAAAGUUCUAGCUUUCUGUUCAAUGUGUUUUAAUCGCAUAUGAUGUGGGCAUAAAAAUCAAUCAAUCAUAUGAAAAUGGAUGCAAUAGUAGAUUUUGGAAUUUGUAUAAGUUUGGAAUCUUUGGAUUGGGAGUGACAAGAUGGAAAUUUCUAGGAGCCAGUUAACGAAAGAUAAGUGAAAUAAUAGUAAAGUUAACGUGAGAAUAAGAGUGCAUAUAAGUAGGAGCCUUUUUUUUUGGUGAGAAAUUCCAUUUAUGUAGAUGGGAGGUUUCAACAAAUCCAAUAAAAAGAAAGGAUUACCAAAACAAUCCAAGCCUCACAUGUCCCCUCCCUGUCCCCUCCAUGUACAAUCAAAAAUCAAGUACAAUCAAAUUCAAGUAUGUACCCCACCAUCGGAGCUAAAUCUCACACUACUAUCCCUACCAUUGCACCUGAAAGGAAUAUAGUAUCCUUGCAAAAUGCUUUGAACCCCUACGUCAUGCCAUCUAUUGCAGUUCCUAGCAACUGAGGGAUCCUCUUCUUGUGAAAAAUUUGUUGGGAACUUAUCUGUGAUAAUUUUGUCAGGAGCAAUCUAGUAACAUAAGCAUAACCCGCAUCCAUCACUCUAAUUGCAAUUAUGAGAGUCAGUAUGUUAUCUCCCAAUUGUUGGAAUGUUAUUUGUUGCUGCUUAGAGAAUUUUGUUAAGUACAACUCUGCUUUAUAUUUCUUUGAGUCUUUUGUUAUACAGCCUGCUUAUAUUGGACCAUCAUGUUGUUCUUAUUUCAAAUUCGCCAUAACUACUUCCAGCCAAUAAACUUGCCAUAUGCCUUCCUAUGAAGUUAAACUUUUUGCAAUUUUUAUGCCCAUUAGUUUUGCUUUUGUCUUGCUUCAAUCAAGUUCUAUAAAAAAUAGUCAAAAAAUAGUCAAGUGUUUUUUGGUUAUGCCUUUGUUGUUGGUGUUUCCAAUGAUUGUAGUCUUUUUUAUUGAUCUUGCAUUGCGUUUGACACUUCUUUUACAAAUUUGAAGGUGUUGUCACAAUAUUACCUUGAGCGGCAAUGCUUGCUGAAGUGUGUCAGGAAAAUCCUCGUGCAUGCCUGUAAGUCUUUGAAGUUGCUGGAUAUAUACAAAUUACUGGAUUAUGUCUCUUCAUAUUUUCUGGUGCGAAGUGCAAUAUGAAUAGCAUACAAUCAUUGGAAGUAGUUUUGAAAGACAUGUUUGUAGUUCUUUCUUGUAGGAAUAUUAUUACCCUACAACCAAGGUUUAAAGCGCCGUCCCGUGCCGUGCGGCACGGGGCGGCACGUACCGUGCCGGUAUAGGGAGGGUCUCGGACACCCCCCGUGCCACGGCACGCAGCGCUGUGUCGCACAAGAUAGAGCAGCACGGCGCGGCGUGCCACGACACAAUGCCGUGCCUGCACUGUGCUAAUUUUUUUUUGCUUUUUUUUGUUUUUUUUCUUUUUGUUUUGUUCUUUGGGAUAUCCAAAGUAUUCUGGGUAUUCCACGCUCCCCCCAAAGACAUUGCAAAUAAAAAAUUUACUUAUUAGGUACGUUAAAAAAAUUAUAAUUUAAUUUUUUUUGUUUAUCAAUAUACGGACAAAAGAUUUGUCCAAGCCCUCCGCUUCCACCAUAGAUAUCUAUUUUUUCUUUACAAAUUAUUUUAUUAAAAUUUAUCGCACCGCGAAAUUUUUGGCGAAUUAAGGGAACAAAAUCGAACUCAAUAAACAAAUUUUAAGCCGCAUCAAACAUAAAAUUUUAUUUUUGCACUAGAAGUUUGAAAAUACUAAUAAAAUUAAAAGCCAAAUUAAAUCAAUUACUUAAAUUUAUUUAAUUUAUUUGUCAUAUAAUUUAUUGCUUAAUUUUUUUGAUAGAUCUACUAUUUUUUAAAAAAAUUAAUGAAAAAAUAAUUAUUUUUCAAAUGCUUUGUAAAAUAAUUUUUAAAAUAAUUUUUUUGUAUUUUAUAAAAGAAAGACUGUAAUAUGGUCAAAAGAAAUAAAGAAAAAGAAGAUGUUUUUGCAUUUAAAAAAUUCUAACUUGUAAAAAUUUCUAUUCUGCAUUAGGUAUAAUUGUACUUUACAUACAAAAAAGCUUACAAAUAUGUUAAUUGAUGAGUAUAGUAAGCUAUACAUAGCAAAUAUUCAUAAUUUUUUGAUUAAAAUUUUCGAAAUAAUAUUAUAAGAGCUUAUUGGAACCAAAAAAAUUGAAAUAAGUCCGUGCCAAAGCGUGCCAGUAGGAGGACGUGCGUAUCCAUCGGCACGCAAGCGUACAAUGUAUCGGCACGAAAGCGUGCUGGUGCCGUACCGUACUAGGCAGAUAGCGGCACGCUUCCGUGCCACGACACUUUAAACCUUGCUUGCAACUAUUGAUUGGUUCUUAGCUAUUUAGAGAAUAGGAAUGUGUUCAAAUUAUUACAACAAAAUUUGAUCAUAGUCAACGCUGAUGUUUUCAUUUUGCCAGAAGUUUCUGUGUGGUUGUUAGUAGAUAAAUGUUGCUUUCUUGUAGAAGAUUUAACUCUCAUUGAAGUAAUCCUACUUCUCUCCAUAAUAAAUUGCUUUGAGAGUAACAUACUACUAGCUGAUUGCUAGUUCUACUAUAUUCUAUUUAUUGGCCGAAUCUUGCCACAAGAUCUUUGCGGACGAUUAUGAACAUAAGAUUCCUAUCAUUUGCAAGAUAAGUAAGAUUCCUAUCAUAUGUAAGAUAAGAUUACUACCAAAGAUUGCCAUGCUAGUGGGACAAGGCAUGCCAUUGUUUCAGUUGCACGGCAUGACACAAUGCAGCGGCACGCCUCGUGCCAAUGUAGGCACAUCUCACCGUGCCAGUGGCACAUAACCAGCACAAUUGCAUGGAUUGACAUUUUUAUUAGAUUCCAUAGAAAAAUGGUCACUUAGAGUGUUUUAAUGUCUUUGAUACCUUUAAAAUAGUACAAAUGUUAAUAUUUUACAAACUUUAGCAUGAAUAGAAUAAUAGACAUCUUAAUAAAUCAAGAAUACAAUUUAACAUGAUAUGAAAGUACAUCACGAAGGCAAAAUUAUAGUCAUAAUUGAGGAAAAGCUUACAUGAAGACACUACCAUCACUAGAUCAAAAAUGAGAUAAGAAAUCGGAUGCAAUCGUCAAACUCGUGUUACUUCAAAAUAAAUUGUGGUCUAAUCUAAUUAUCGAGGAUUCUCUAUUUGCACCAAAAAGUUAGUAGAUCUAUAAGAUCCAACUGAAACCAUUACGUAACUUUUUUUUUAUCUUAAACUCAAAAAUAACCUAAAAAGUGCACAAAAGACAUGUUUUCUUGAUAUAGUUCGGUAUGCCCCUGUGCCACGUGUGGGCACGACCUCGGCACAGUGCGGUAUAGUAUGACACAAGUGAUACAUGAAUAUAUUUAUAUCUAUAUCUAUAUCUAUGGAGAGAGAGACAGUAAUAGGAUAAAACCCUUUGUCCUAUCAAAGUAUCAAGUCAUUUAUGAUGAUCGGGAGUCGGCAUUGCUGAUUGGCACAGUCAUACAUGAUCUAGAGCAUUUGAAGUCUCUAGAAAUCGAAUUUGGUGAUUUUUAAACAUCACUCUCUAGUACAUGAAAAGACCACAAUGAACAAUUGAAAACGAAUAACGUUGCGAAAAUAGAGGUUAGAUCUUUUCAAUGCAAAAUUGUUGUUGUCAAGCAUGAUCAAGCUAGUGAAAAGAAUUUUCUAUUAAAAAUAAACCAUUAAAUGAGCAAUUGGCUUACACAGGCGAUUAAUAGUUAUUGAAUUUGAGGCCUUUCAGUCAUGAUGUAAAUGACUUUUAAAAAUUGCCGAAUUUGAUUCCUAGACAUAUCAAAUGCUCUAGAUCAUGUUAGACAGUGCCGAUUGUCGAUACAGACUCCCGAUUAUCAAAAAUGACUUGAUAGGACAAAUGGCUUUGUUCUUUUAAUAUGAUAGCAGCUCUACUCUUAUUUUUAUAAUAUAUAUAAAAGCGGAUAGAAAGUUUUAGUUGACAGACGGGAUAUUAAAUGGCAUAAAAGAUUAUUCCAUGCACAUUAAAAAAAGAAAUUUUAAUAAUUAACUUAAAACAAAUUAGAUUUGAAAAAUAGAAUAGCUUAAAAAUAGACCUUCAAAUCAACAAUUGUUUAAAUUCAAAUAAUGAAUUCAAAAUUAAAUUUAAAUUUUGAGGUUGAUUCAUAAAUUUAAACCAAAAUUCAAGCUUUAAUUUACAAUUUGAAAUCAAUUCAAAAGUUUAAAUUUUGGGUAUACAUUAAAAAAGAAUUUGUACGUUAUUGAACACAUAAAAAAUUUUUACAGCAUUACUAAAUUGGAUUGGAAACAUAUCAAAUUUGGAAAAUAAAUCAAUUGAAAAUAUACUCUGCCAUCAGUAGCCAUUUAAAUUCAUAAUGCAUAUUCAAAAUUCAUUUUAACGUAAAAUUCAUAUACUCUGCCAUCAUUCGUUCACUAUAACUAGUGUGUGUUUGUGUAUAGUGCAACUACUACCAAAAGUAUAGUAGCUGCUGUACUCAUAAGUUCUUAUCUAUUAGAUCUGUUAAGAAAUUAAUAAGAGGAAAAAUGGAACAUCCUUGUCCUCUCAUUGCCACCCCCCCGGUUUCCCCACUUAUCCCCUGAACCCUAAAUCCUAAAACCCUAAACCCUAAGCCCCCACCCCAUCCUUCUCCCUUAGCAACCUCUCUCUCCCCAGGCCCCAAGCAUUAACCCCUUGUGCUUCUGUGGCCCGCUUCGAGAGGAAACCCCUCCACCUCCCAUGCGUGCGCAGCACCACCUCCUCUAUUGAUAGCCUACUCGGGCAGCACAACUGUUGCUGCCUCAUAUUUCCUCUACCGUGGGGUAGCACCAACUCCUCUUCGUCAUCUUCCGAUAGCCUACCUUGGUGGGUGGGUGGUUAUGAGGGGCUGGCGGUUAGGGAAAGUUCCGAGAGAAGGGAGGGGUAGCAGACGAUCUGAGGAGGGGACGGUGGUUGGGGGGAGAGGAACAUUACCCACCUUGGUGGGUUGCCGACUGGGGAGGUGUUGGUGUUGCAUGCGCCAAGUAGAGGUGGGGUUUUUCUGCUAGGGUAGGCUAUCGGAGGAGAAUGAUAAGGUGGUGCUGGGGGAAGAGGGGUUGCGGAAGGAGGAAUAGUAGGAGGCGGGAGGCUACUUCUGCCCGGGGGGAGGCAAGAGAUAAGAGGAGGAAGGGGGCGGGGUCUGGGGUGGGUCUGAGGUGUUAGGUGGGAGAAGGGGGCGGUUCUCGCCGAGUGGUCUGCCGACGGAGGAGGGGAUAGUGUUGCACUUUGUUAGUUAAUUCGCAUAUUAUACACGUAUUAUUCACAAAAAAAUGAAAACCAAAUAAAACGCUCCGUUUUCGAACUUUUUCCAAAAAUUCAGAAUAAAAUGCAUUUUUUUUCACUUGUUGAGAGUAUUCGCAAUUAAAACAGUUUCGCCGAAUUAUAUUCUGAAAAAUUCGGAUUAAGAAGCCCUGGAAACAUGAAAAUUUUCAAAAAAAAUUGGAUUGGGCGGCUGCGGAAAGGUGAAAUUUCUCGAACUGGAGCCGCGCGACCACCGCUCUGCAAAUCCGUGCACUUUCUCGUGAGCAGUCGAGCAAUCCUGCCUGUUCAAUUUUGAAGAAGACAUAGAUACAAAGCAAAGAAAGGAGGAGAAUUAAGGAAGAAAAAAGGCGGAGCGAGGAAGAAGACUUGAAGAAAUCGCGGUGUAGAGGGUUGGGGAAUGGCGGGGUCCACGAGGUUGCACUCAGCCUCGUGGACCAUGUAGGAGUGAGAGGUCCACGGUGGACCUCUCACUCUCUUCCCCCUUUGUGUGAAUAUAUAUAUAUAUAUAUAUAUUUAUUUUUAUAUUUACAAAAAUUAUAAUUAUUUAUGAUAAUAGUAUAAAUUUUUUUAUAAAUUUAAUUUAAUAGACGAAUUUUUAUUCCGAAUUUUUUAAUGAUAAACAUAAAAUUUUCGUAUAAAUCGCGUACAUGAAUUAUUGACGAAUCCGAUUUUUAAACCGUAUUUUUCAACGAAUUUAAAAAUUAAGAUACAGAUUUUAUUCGUAUUUUAUCCGUAUUGAACUUUUACCGUAUCCGAAUUAACUAACUAUGGUGUUGCAUGCUCGAGGCGGAUGUGGGCGCGCUUUCCUAACAGGGCUGGCCGCCAGAGGUGUUAGAUAAAUUACAUUACAAAAUCCGAUUGUGAGCAAAAUCUAACAAUUUAAUGUUAAAAAAUUAAAAUAAAACUCAUGGAUGAGUGCUAAAAAUUUUAAAAACUGUAGAAGAAGAAAGCCGAAAAUUUGAUUGAUCUAGAAGCGUGCGUAGCACUGCCCUAAGGUGUAUUUUCGUCCUUUGUGCGAGAUUAACUGAGAACACAACCCCAAGAUACGAUCAGAAUUCCUAUUGCGAGCACGAUCGACGCGAAAGUUGAUGGAGAUUCUUUCAACACCCAAUAAAUAGAAAGAAUAAAGAAAGCGGUGGAAAAGGAGGAUGGAGAGGAAGAACAAAAUUUUCUUUCUUCUUCAUUUCUUUCUCGGUUCCUUUAUGGAUAAGCAAGGGAGGAGAAUAUAUAGGGAUGGGAGAGUUGAACGUUAGAAUUGUUCGAUCCCAUGUUCGCUAUGGUUAGGUGAAAGAAACGGAAGAGUAAAAAGAACAUUAGGUUUUCUUUCGCCCAAAGAAAAACUAAAAUAAAUAAUAUAUUAAAUAAUAAAUACAAAUCAAAUAUGAGAAACAUAUAACCAAAAACUCCAUUUUGAGUUUUUCCUACAACAAUCCCCUACAAAACUAAAUUUGUUUUGAAACAAGAAUUAAUAUCAAAAAUUGAAAAAGACAAAAAUUACUGGGUGUUUAUAGUAUGCAAUGGUUGAGGUGUCUUUCAGAGACUUAACUACCCUUAGAGUAAGCAGCUUCUAUCAGAAAGAAUUGGAGUAAACCAAGUCUUGAACUACGUUCCUUUGACCUCGACUUAAAUUGCCACACAAUACAAAAUUCUCUAUUGUGGGUAUGUGCGUUAAUGACCAUGCACAGUACCUUGAUUUUCCAUAAGUUUCUAUGGAACCCACAUCACUAGCAGCAGCCAUAUAAGAGUACUCUUAUCUAGACGUUCUCUUCUAGGGACAUAUGCAGAGUCACAUCUCAUGAUAAUUACUUGCUCGGAUACCAUUAAAAGCUAAAAUCUCAAUCUCAACCACUACGCAGAGCACUACUCACCAUAAUUAUGAGAUUAGACCUAAAUGCCACGGCUUUAACGUUUUUGUUUGUAAAGCCCGUGCGGCCCCCGCCUUCCUGCUUGAAGAUGGUCAAGCCUUCGUCCCUUUUGCUAGCUCGGACCUUCGUGUCCUACGACUAAGUAUGUAAAGGGAAUGACAAAGAGAGAGGCAGAGGUUCACUCAAAAAACUAAGUACUCUACUACUUAGAAAAAGAGAUUACAACACACAUACACACUCCCUCUUGUGUCCUUUGGCCUAAGCCAAACCCCACUUUAUAUAGGCUCCUAGAUACAUUGAAUCUAGCUACUCACUAACUCUCUCAUUAUGACACGCAUUAACUCACCUUUAUAAUGAGCCAUAAGUCCAAGAGUCACCCCAUAACUCAUGGGAGUUUCAUAACCAUUGAGUUUCCUAUAGUGGAUUGGGCUCGGGUCUCUUUAACUACCCGCUCAGCUAGCGAAGUUGGGCCACUGUUAAGAAGUUAGCGGAAAACAUUUUGUCCGUGACAUUCUCCCCCACCUAAUGCGCAAACGCCCUCGUCGCGCGCCGAGUCGCUCCCGGUCCGCAUAGCCUUCCGCGCGGUCCGUCGUGCCUUCGCGCGCGAUCGGCCCGGUGCCUUGCUCCCAAUGUCCGCAUCUGUCCUCGCACCAGCACCUAGUGUCUUGCCCUUCUGAGCAAGUGCACCAUCGAGCCUGCUGUGCGAAGAGUUCGCCGGAUGUGCAUAUCCUCCGCGACACGCACGUGCACUCUGCCAAGCUGCAGAACGCCCCGAGUGUGCAUGUCCUUCGCGACACGCACGCGUACUCCGCCAAGCUGCUGAACGCCCUGAGUGUGCACGUUCUCCGCGACACGCACGUGUACUCCGCUAAGCUGCAGACGCCUUUUGGUCCUCGCAGGCUCCUUGGCAGAAUGACUUGCACUUUGCUUGGACGUUGGCCACUCUAGCGCCGCAUGAGACUCGAUAGUCUCGACGCUGCUCAGGCCCUCCUCCUCGAGGUCCCCAGCCUUCUCGCGCUUCACUUCCUCGCAAAGCUGCAGGGCUGUCAGAGUUGAACUCUCGUUGCACCCUUUUGCGUUUCCUAGAUCGCGGUGCUCUCCCCCACCGUUGGCCUCGCUCGCCUUUGGUGGUUCACCCCGAUCGCCCUCGGUUCGCUCAGUAGUGCCUCCCUCGUCUUGAGGUCCUCGACCUCCUUGACCUGGGCACCGAUGUCCUGAAGCAGCACAUCUCGCACAUCCCGCUCGUCGUUGCGACGGGCAAGAUUCACCUUGAACUGCUCCAGACGAUGGAGGAAUGUUGUCAUAGCUGCAACAAUAUCCUUCUCCAUCCAAUGGAACCCCUCCUCCAACAUCCCCACAUGUUGGGAUAGGUCGGAGUAGCGCUCCUCCGCUCUCGCAGCAGAGUCCUCUAGCACGCCUAUGCGGUCGUGAAGCAAGACAGACUCUUUUGCCAGAGUCCACGGCUCCUUGCUCUUGCCGCGCUUGGUCGCCCUGGGCUUAGGCACAACGUCAACGAUGGUAGCUUCCGACGAAGACAUGGUUCCUCCUCGAACCGGCUCUAAUACCAACUGUCACGGCCUUAGCUUUUUUAUUCGCAAAGUCCGUGCGGCGCCCUCCUUCCUGCUCGAAGAUGGGCAAGCCUUCGUCCCUGUUACUAGCUUGGACCUUCGCGUCCUACGACUAAGUAUGCAAAGGGAAUGACAAAGAGAGAGAUAGAGGUUCACUCAAAAAACUAAGUACUCCACUACUUAGAAAAAGAGAUUACAACACACAUACACACUUCUUCUUGUGUCCUUUGGCCUAAGCCAAACCCCACUAUAUAUAGGCUCCUAGAUACAUUGAAUUUAGCCACCCACUAACUCUCUCAUUAUGACACACAUUAACUCACCCUCAUAAUAAGCCAUAAGUUCAAGAGUCACCCCAUAACUCAUGGGAGUUUCAUAACCCUUGAGUUUUCCAUAGCGGGUUGGGUUCGGGUCUCUUUAACGACCCGCUCCGCUAGCAAAGUUGGGCCACUGUUAAGGAGAAGUCAACGGAAAACAUUUUGUCCGUGACAUAAAGCUCUUCAAUAUAAUAUGUAGAAUAGCUUGUUUUAUCACAUUGAACCUUUUUCAAAAGGGUUUUCUAUCACAAAGGUACAGUUCUCAUUGUAGGAAGUAGGGUUUAAAGUGCCGCCCCAUGCCAUACGGCACUGGGUGGCACGUACCGUGCCCCCAAGAUGGGGGUGGGGGCACGGUACAACACUGUUUGAAAAAGCAUGCCUGAGGCGUGCGCCGAGGCGCAAUGCUAUUGCUAAGGCGCGCGCCUCGGUCUUGAGGCGCGUGCCUCGGUCUUAAGGCGCACGCCUCGCAAUAUUUAAGCAAGGAUUUAAGUGCUGUGGCACGGGGUCGUACCGGAAACUUGUCGGCAUGGUACGACAUGGUGCGUGCCGAGCCGCUUCGAUGCUUGCCGGUCAAAAAAAUUCUUAUGUGCCGACACAUAAUACCAUGAAAUAUUUAUUUUCGUUAGCAACAAAAUAUUCUAACUAUUUAUUAUAUCUUUUUAUCAUAUCUUUUGAACUUUAUUGAGGAAAUUACUUACUAAUUUAAAGAAUAGAGGGUUUUGAGCUGUGCCAUCGGCACAGGGUCUGUAUUGUGCCGGUAUCUUGUUGGCACAGUUGAUACAGCCCGUGCCGACGGACACUUAAAACCUUGUAUUUAAGUUUUCUGGGAUUUUUUAUUCAAGUUUUUGAGUUGUCAAGUUUUGAAUUUGCAUAUUAUACUUUAACCCGAUAAGAAACUUAAAAAAUAUUAAAAGAAGUCCAAAAAAAUUCAAGUUUUCGGAUUGUUGGGUUUUGAAUUUGCAUCUUAUACUUUAAACCCGAUAAGAUAUUUAAAAAUUCUUGAAAGAAAUCCCAAAAAUCUCUAAAAAAAUCAGUUGCUCGUCCCCUCCUCUCCGUCUCCUGUUCUCUCCACAUCCUCUCCUUGUCGAGCAUCCAAUAGCAGCUGUGCUAGCAGUAGGAAGCAGCGGCGGCAAACUAGUGGUAAAAGCCAACGAGACAAUGCGAUACCCAGGAGGGUACCGCGGCACGUAUCAUGCUGGUUCCCUUUUUCUUGUUUUUUUUGUUGUUUUCUUUUGGGUUACCCCAAGUGUAAGGAAGUGAAUCCUCGAAAUCCGAGGAUUAGACUUCGAUUGGAAUCGACUAGUUGUCGAGUAUGUAAGCUUCGGAAAUCCGAAGGUGAUUAAAAUGCGUAAGGUACAUUAAGGAAGGGUCCGCGAGAGUAGCAGUGCAAAUCUGCACUGGAGCAGAAUUACUCUCGGGGACCGGUCCCUGGCAGGGAGGGACCGGGCUCCGAGAGCUGGGCUUGCGGGGAUCCACGAUGCAACCGGUCCCUGGCAGGGGAGGACCAGUCCCCGAACGCUCGCCCGACGAGAAAAGCCGAAAUUUGGCUAAGUCUCGAAAAUCCAACUCUCGGGAACCAGUCUCUCGGAGACGGACCGGUCUCCCGGGGACCGGUCUCUCAGGCGGGGACCGGUUCCCGAACGCGAAACUCCCUCUGCCCGAGAUGGAAGGCUCUCGGGGACCGGUCUCCCCGACCUGGGACUGGUCCCUCACUGCGAAAAUGCCCAGUGAGUGCUGCUGCAGAGGAUGGAAAGUUGAGGGGGCUAUUUGCAAAGUGGCCUAUAUGAAGGUGGGGGACCCCUCUCUUCCUCUUAUUUGCUCUCUAUCCCUCUCACACCCUUUCCCUCUCUCUCUCUAGAACGAAAGGAAAAGAAGAAGAGAAGGGAAAGAAGGAAAAAAAGAGAGAGAGAAGGAGAAGAUCAAGAAACAUAGGAAGAUCAUCUUCUUCCCUCUCUCCUUCAAGCUAGAACCAGUUUGGAGCUUGGUAUAGAGGUAAGCUUCAAACCCAUCCAUGGUGGAUUUCUUGAGAUUGGGUUUUAUUGCUUAGAAAUGGUUUGAAUGGAACCUAUUGAAGCUAAGGUGAUGGUUCGAGCUCGCAUUUGAAGCUCGCACCACGGAUCCCAUCGUUGCCAACCUAGGGCACGGAUUCGGGAUUUUUGGAAAUCUAGGGUUUUGAUCUAUUUUAAUAGGUCGUAAACCUAAUUGCUAGGUCACGAAACGCAUCGGCGAAGACGGUUCGUCGAUACGACAAGCGGGUGCGAGGAUAUCGCCGAAUCAAGCGUUUAAGGGUUCGGAUCGACCCGAGAAGUCGAAGCGUCGACCAAGGACUGCGAGAUUGAGUUUUCUAUCAUCGCGACAUCACCAAGAGGUGGGUGGUGACCAUCCCGAAGCAAUCGGGCUCCCUCUUAUGUCUUAGUAUUUUGAGACCUUGCAUCUUGUGUUCAUAUGCAUGGUAGGAUAAAUGGUGCAUCGCCUUUCCUUAUGCUUUCCUAGCUGAUAUCAUAUUAUGUAUUAGUUGUUGGAUAUAGUGGAUUGAUGAGGAUUGGGUCGAGACUUAUAAUCCUAUGGUGCAGCGAUGAAAGAAUGACGCAAUGGUUGAAACAAAAGAACGAGUGGCAUCUAGUUGUUAGUAAAAAAUGAACGAGUGGCAUAUACGAGUCGUAGCGUAUAUGAAACCCAUUGACUAUGUUGAUAGUAGCCCUAGAGGAUAGGGUACCCUUGAGGUGGGAGAAUUGGAUCAUACUCAUUAUCUGUUCCCAACUCGUGAUGGUCGCUCCACACAAGUAGUGCGCUCCACAGUCGGUCACGAGGGAUGGCCUAUUUGGGGUCCCGUGGGAUAGGGAUGGCCUAUUUGGGGUCCUGAGGGAUGGCCUAUGUGGGGUCCCGCAGACAGUUUCGGAUUCGUAGUUUGAGUCUAGUCUCCCUACGCGUCGAGAUGGCUAUGUGAGUAGUGGGCGAAUUCGUGAGUGAGCCACGAGAUUGAUGAACAAGUAAAUAGCUUUACUUCUUGGACAUAUGACGGGCUAGUUGAUUAUCUACUUUGUUGUGCAUGCAUUCUACAUAUACAUGAUUCGGGCACAGUAGUGUAGCUUUACUAUUCUGUUAUUACAGCUUUCCAUAUCCAUCUAUCUGUUUAUCUACUUGUGCCCACUUGGACCUAGUGGGGAGACCGGCGGAGUCGGCGGCCGAACCCACUGGGAACUAUGGAAGAUAGUUCUCACCCCACUCUUUUCAGGUCCGAGUUCGAGUGCCCCGGGCGAGCGUGAGGAUCGCGGUAAGGGCCUAGCGCCCUAGUUGCAUUAGCUAUCUACCUUUUUGCAUUAGUCGUCACCCUUUGUAUUUGAGAGUAGAUGAUGUAUAGGGGUGAGGUUUGAGAGUGCUUGUACAUAUGUUCUGGAAGAAUGUAAAAGAUGGAAUUAAAUGUAUUAAGUUGAAUGAAUGUAAUAGAUAGAACUCUCUCUUUAUUUACUUGUAUGUCUCAUAUUUGUAUCUUGCUCUUAUUUGUUAGCACUGGUGGUGCUCCUUGUGAUCGUGUAUGUAUGAAUUGAUCCCUAGGCAAAUUCUUAUACACGAUCUGGUUGUUUAGCCUUGGGCGGACAGGCGAGGUGCUGUCCGUUCGGCGUCUGUUUGACGCGCCCGAACCGAACCGAAUUGGUAGCGGUUUCGGGGCGUGACAGAUAAAGUGGAAUCAGAGCCUUUAAGAGCAAGUAAAGAGAGAGUCUAGGAUAACCUAGGAGACCCUAGGUUGGUAAACCCUAAGAUUAUAAGGGCGUGAGUGAACGUGAAUCUAUGACGGUGGCGGAAGUUGAUCGAUUGGGUCGGGUUGAUGUCAUGUCUCUAGCUGUGAAUAGAGAUGGAUCCAAGUGACACUAGUUUCUUGGCUCGUAGUGGUUGUGUCGGCGGCCGACGAUGCAACGCUAAGAGUCUAGAACUAGAACACUUGUGUGCUUCCGCCCGAUUUCAUUGUCGAGUCGUUUAAUUUCGUGAACGCUAAAAAGUUAUCGGAUUAAGAUAACUAACCAAGCUGUUGCUUUUCAGGAGCAAAUGUCCCCAAGACGUUACGUACAUAGGUCUGUUCCGGUACCGCCUUUUGCGGUGCCCGAGCAGCCAAGAUCGGAGGAGGUGCAGGAACUGCGUGAGCAGGUCGCUGCAAUGUUGGGCGCGAUGCAGCGCCAGGAGGCUUGGUUCGAGCAGCUCCAGGGAUUUGUGGAGCGAGAAGCGGUGGCUGCGGCCCCGACAGCGACGAAAAAAAUUAAAAUAAGUUCGUGUCAAUGCGUGCCAGUAAGAGGCUAUGCGUAUCCAUCUAUACGCCAGCGUAUCAUGUAUCGGCACGAAAGCAUGCCGGUGCCAGGUAAACAGCGGCAUGCCUCUGUGCCACGACACUUUAAACCAAGGAUUUAAGUGUCGUGGCACGAGGUCGUGCCGGAAACUUGCCGAUGCGUGCCGGAAAUGGUGUGUGCCGGGUCGUGUCGGAAACUUGCCGAUGCGUGCCAGUCACAAAAAAUACAUAUGUGCCGACACAUAAUGGCAUGAAAUAUUUAUUUUCUUUAGCAACAAAAUAUUCUAACUGUUUAUUAUGAAUCUUUUUCAAAUCUUUUGAAUUUUAUCGAGAAAAUUACUUACUAAUUCAAAGAAUAGAGAGUUUUGAGCAAUGCCAUUGGCACGGGGGUUGUAUCGUGCCGAUAUUUUGUUGGCACGAGACGGCACGGUAGAUACGGCCCGUGCCGAUGGGCACUUAAAUCCUUGCUUUAAACGUUGGCAGGAAGGCCUCUCAUGAGCAAAGUCCCAUCCUCCUUGCUAACUCCAGGACUUUAAUUGUACUUAGGCUUUUUGUCAUGCAAUCUGCAGGAUUCUAUUCAGAUCUGAUAAAUCUCAAAGAAACUACAUCAUGGGAAGAUAAUAUCUAACAAACUUUUGUCUCAACUUACUGCAUCUCUAAGCUUUAGAGUUUACCAAUGUCUUUUUACAAAAAUCUAUUGUAGCUUGAGAGUCACACAGAAUAGAAAUAGGAGGAAUAGGAAAAGGCAUCAAUGGAAUCUAUGACAAAAGUUUCUUGAGACAUUCGGCUUCACGACAGGUAAUAUCAAGAGCAACCAAUUUGGCUUUCAUGGUGCUUCUGGCUAUUAUGGUUUGUUUGGUGGAUUGCCAAGAAACUACAUUACCACCAAAAAUGAAAACAUACCAAGAGUGGAUUUAAUAUCCAGAAAAUUAGAAAUCCUAUUGGCAUUGUUGUGUCCCUUAAUUAUAGCAGGAUAGUCAAUAAAUCUGAUAGAUAAUGAGAGAGUAUCUUUAAGGUAACGAAAUACUAUCUCCGGAGCAAUCUAUUGAGUUAUACUACUGUUAUUAGUAUAUCUAUUCGAUCUGGAUAUGGCUUACUCCUAUUAGUUAGGUAUAUCAUUGAACUGAUAAUCUGGGCAUAUUUCUGUUGAUUCACAGGAUUACUAGUGUUCUUCGCAAGCUGAACACAAUGUUUGAAAAGGAGCGCCUCAGGCGUACGCCUCAGCACCUAGGUGCGAGGCGCGAGUCUCAACGCCUUAGGGAGUGAGGCGUGCGCCUCAGAACGCGCCUCGUGAUAUUUACGUUCAAUGUGCCUAGGGUUUGAACUUUCGGGUUUUGAGUUUCUUCAAUAUAUUCUAAAAUGUCAAGAUAUUUUUUUUUAAAAAAAAUCCUAAUUUGAACGCUUUCUUUUUCUUUUCUCUUAGUCGUUCUCUCUUCCACCCCCCAAUGGCAAUUAGUAGCAGCAGCAAGAAGCAGGAAGCAGCAGCAAGCGCUUUUAAGUUGAAAGUUGAAACAUAAUUUUUUUUUAAUUUUUAGGCUGAGAACAUUUAGGCUUGCGGUUUCUUUAACUUUUUAUGGUUAUUUUGUUUUUGUGUAGCUAUUUUUGAAUUUUUUAACAUAAAACAUUUAUUUAAAAUAGGAUUGUUAAGAGUGUUUUAUUUUUAUUAGAUAUGAGCCUUACCUUCUUGAGGCACACACCUUGCGAUGUGCCUCGCGCCUAGGCUCCAUAAGGCCUUUCCGCCUUUUUGUGCCUUGCGCUUUUUCAAACACUCAUGAAUACUAGGAUUAAAUGAAAUAGAAACAUGACAACAAUUUGAAUACCCAAAUUUAUUAAAAACUAUUCAAGUAUGAUGAGAUCGGGUUAGAAGAAUAGAAGGUAGUAGCAAAAGAGGAUAGAGGGUAAAAAGAAAUUUUCCCUAUUUUCUUUGUUUCUUUCUCAGUUAUUCUAUGGACGAACGUGGAGGAAUAUAUAUAGGGAUAAGGGAGUUGAACACUAGAAAACGUCUGACCUCACGUCCUCUCUUGUUAGGCAAAAGAAAUGGAACAGGAAAAAGAACAUUAGGUUUCCUUUCGCCCAAAGAAAAAAAAGAUAAUAAAUAAUAAAUAAUAAAUACAUAAUAAAUACGAGAAAUAAAUAACUCAAAAUUCAAUAUUUUGCAUUUUCCUACAACAGAAAGGGAACAAUUGGGUGGUGCUAGGGGAAGAGGUUGCUCCCGGGGGGUGAGGUUGGUGGGGUAAUGGAGGAAACAAAUGUUUUGUUUUUUCUCCUAUUAGUUUCAUAGCCAUCAGACUUGCACAGACCUUGAAGUAGAUCUGAUGGCUAAGAACUUAUGAGUACAUAAGAGUAUAGUAUCUGCACUCUCUAUAUAUAUUUAAAACAUCAAUGCUCUAUGAUAUGCAGGAGAUAUUUAUUGUUACAAUCAAGGUUUAAAGUGCGGUGGUACGAGGGUGUGCCGUUGUCUGCCUGGCACGGUACGACACCGGCAUGUUUCUGUGCCGACAUAUGAUACGCUUGUGUGCCGAUGGGUACGUAUGACUUCCUACUGGCACGCUUUGGCACAGACUUAUUUUAGUCUUUUGGUUCCAGUAAGCUCUUAUAAUAUUAUUUUGAAAGAUUUAAUCAAAUAAUUGUGAAUAUUUGCUAUGUAUAGCUUACUAUACUCAUCAAUUAACAUACUUGUAAGUUUUUCUGUAUGUAAAGUACAACUAUGCCUGAUGCAUAAUAGAAAUUGUACAGGUUAGAAUUUUUAAAAUGUAAAGACAUCUUUUCUUUCUUUUUUCUUUUGGCCAUAUUUCUUUCUUUUUUCUUUUGCUUCGAAAUUUGUUUAUUGAGUUCGAUUUUGUUCCCUUAAUGCGGCAAAAGUUUUGCGUGACUGUGGUGGGCUGCGGGCUCCCCGCAGUAUGGAUUAGAUAUGUAAAUUUAAAAUUUACCUUACAUUGAUGAACAAAAAAAAUUAAAUUAUAAUUUUUUUGAUUUGCCUAACAAGUAGAUUUUUUAUUUGCAAUAUCUUUGGGGAGGGUGUGGGGUACCUAGAAUGCUUCUGGUACCCCAAAAAACAAAACAAAAAGAAAAAAAAAAGCAAAAAAAAAAAAGCCGACAAGGCAUGCGUUGCCGUGCCUCUCUGUUUCGUGCCGCACGGUCCCGCAUGCUGCGGCACGGAGGGGCGGUCCGAGACCCCCCUGUACUUCAAUCCUUGGUUACAAUGGGUAAGAGUGGGGAUCCAAGAAAAUCUUUUAUAAAUAUCUUUCGCUUUUCUUUUUUUAUUUAUAUUUUUUUCCUUCGUGUUUCAAUUUUCACUUUUUGCAUUUGCAUUCUAUGAUUUACAGUCGGAACUCCUGAAACAUAAUUAUAAACAGCUGGAAAUGUCUUUUUGGUGGUGGACUCAAACUGAAACAAAUAUCAAUUUUGCAAGACAUGUUCUAGGUUUCCUUUAAUUGUUUGUUUUCAAGCUCAGGUGCACUAAUUUAUGCUCAUGAUGCCCUACAAAUUGACAUGCUCAUGCUGGAUGAUGUUCUUUUGAUUCCAUAUUUGUGUUGGUUCCUGGAUGAGCAUGCUCGUCAUUAAUUUAAAUUUUUGUCACGCUUCGUAUAGUUGUAUCAUCUAGAUGCAAUUUUCUUUUGUGAUUCGAGAUAGAAAAAUGGCUUAUUAUUAAUGUAGGUAUUAAGUUCUGAAUAAAUGUCACAUCAUGAUGCAGUAAGUUCUGAAUAAAUGUCACAUCAUGAUGCAGUAGUUUAGUUCUAGUCUAGUGAAAGAAAAGAGAUGACAAGCAACUUUUAUUAUGAGUUUUAAAGUUGAUUGAUAUUGAAUAGGCAAGUCAAUUUGCAGUUAUUAUGCAAGGGCUUAGUGGCCUUGGAUGGUUCAAUAUUAACCAUUGAGAUUUCCCCUUUUGAAUCUUCCUGUUUUAUUAUCUAGUUAAUAACUGGUUACAGUACCAUAUUCAUGUGCUAUAAAAGUGAUGCUUUACAAAGGAUAGUACCUAGUAAUUAUAAUUUUCAUGGCUAGUUAUGUAAAACUACUUUGUUCCUUGGUGCAUACUAAGUUGAUUUCUUUUCCUUGGCAUAAAAUAAGUGGUUAAAGUUUCAUUUCAUUUGCCUGUUUAGUUAUGGUUGAUUUUUUUUAGUUGCCACCCAAAAUUUGAUGAGGUUUUUUAAUUUUGUUUUAUCAUGAAAUUAGUAUUAAUAAUCUCUUUUCGCAGUGUAUGCAAACGAUGAAUCUCAUACAACUGAAUCUCUUAGGAGGGAGGUCUUGCAACUAGUUAAUGACGGGCUGGAAAGGAAGCUGCUAUCCAUCUUACAGGACCUACUUUCACCUGUAACUUAUGCAAAAACUGUAUGUUGAAAAAAUCAAUUUUGCUCCCAAUUAAUAGCCUAGCCACUCCGAUAGACCUUUUAAGAUUAUGAAUGAUCUGGAAUCAUAUUUAUUUGACAAAAUCAAUUUUGCUUUUUAAUGUUGGCAGCACAAGUUAUUAUGUCUUUUCUAUUUUAUAGGUAUGAAAAUACUUGUCCUGCAAGAGUAACCUAACCCUAAUGAACUCAUCCGCUAAGCCAUGUCAUUCAAAAUGCAUAUGACAAAUAAAGCAGAUGGAAGGCUGAACAAUUAGUGAUUGGUAUUUUUUCUCCCUUAAUAUUUAAGAAAAUCACUUAAAAAGUACUUGUUCUUAUGGUUUCUCCAAGCCAAUAGAAAAAAUACCUUCUCUUUUGUUUCAUGUAAACUUUAUACUGUUUUGGAAAUGGCCAAUGCUUCUCCGAUAAUGGUUUCCAUCACCAUUUAUGGCAUUGGAGGAGACGAGCUCCAAAGUGCUUCCGGCUUUUUCGGAAACUCUGAAGCAUCAAGGUAGGUGCGUUCAGUGUUUAAAAAAGCGUGCCUUAGGCGCUUAGGCGCUAGGCUAACCAGGCAGCCCUUAGGCGGGGCGAGGUUGCCAAGGCGCGCCUAGCUCUAGGCUCAAGGCGCACUCAAGGCGCGCCUUUUUCAUCUAACAGGUUUAGAUCUAGUUCUGUAUACUGUAAUGGGUUUGGAUCCAUAUAUUUAUUAGUCUAAUGGGUUGAAACAUCUAAAAUAAAUCCAAAAUCCUAAACUAGCAUAAUCUAAACACUAAACAAUCAUCAAAAUCUCUCCGCUUGUUCCUCUCUCCCGCUCCUCCGUUGCCUCCGGCUCUCCCACUCUCCUGCUCGUCCAAAUGUGGACUAAUUAACAUUUCUAUUGUGGCGUAUCUUGGCUUGGAGUCUUGAAAACUUAGCUUUCGUAUGAUCAUUAUGCCCUUUUAAUGAUCUUUGGCUUGAAACUUCAAUUUUUUAUACAUGUUACUUUUCUAUGAUCUUGUGCUUAUAAUUAUAUGUUUUUUACAUCAAAGUUUCCUAUAUGUUUUUUGAAUUAUUAGUUAUCUUUUUGCUGGCCUUUAUUUGGAGGCAAAAAGGUAAUUUGUUCUUUAACUUUUUUUGUAUUAUUUUGUUUUUCAAAAUUAUCAUAUAUAUCGCUUGGCUCUUUUUCUUUUCUUCAUUUUUUUCUUCCGAAAAUGUGAUUAUUUGGGUAGUUAUAGAAUAUUUAUUGUGAUAAUAUGAUUUUAAAGAGUAUUUAGUACUACUUAAUAAUUAUUAGAAAGUAUAGUAAAAAGCUUCUUGGUUUCAGAAUUCUAUAAAAUUGUGCGCCUCACCUCUCUCAAGCGCGCACUUACGCCUUGCGCCUAGGCUCUAACAGCCCUUUGCGCCGAGGUGUGCCUUAGGUUUUUUAAACACUGGGUGUGUUUGGCACCGCAUUCCUAAACUAGGCUUGAAUGUGAUUGAAUACUGAAUAUUCUCUCCUUGCUAUUGUUGGUUAUCUUGUCACGGGCUUGGUUGGAUGCGGAACAACAACUUUGUUAAUUGAAGUACAUAAUGGAGAAGUAAAACCAAGUUUCUUAUUUUUGGUUUCUUGUUGCAAAAUUGAACCCUUAGGCGUGUGUAGACUGCAAUCAUUAUUCCUCGAACUACUUUUCCAUUUGUACUUGUGUUGAGCUUUUUUGCUUCCAUAAUCUCUUGUUGAAAUUCUGUUACUGAAGCCACAUUAUCUGCAUAUGCAGAUGUGGUGACAUUUUGUGACUUCAUACAUAUUAGAUGAGCAUGAUAUGCUAAUUAUAGUAAGUUUCUCCAUAGUGCUUACUUUGCUUUUGGGUGUGUCAAAGUGGGUAUAUCAGCAUAAUUGUUUCCUGCGGGCUAGUGUAAAGAGAAAUUUAAGGGGCAUAUUGACAGAAUUGUUUUGUGGGUUAAAGGGGUGUUUGGUUUCUCGAGAAAGUGUGGAAAGUUGUUUUUUCGAAAUAGUUUUUCAUGGAAAACACCCUUUUCCAUGGUUUUUGUUUUCCAGAUAACAAAUUCGGAAAACGGAAACUCUUGUUUUCCAUGAAAUAUGGAAAUACUUUUUUUGAAAAAGUUGCUUUUCCUAUGGACUAAACGGAUGGAAAACAAUUUUCCAGCUAUAAAACUUUUUUCUGGGCUAUUUUCUGGGAAACCAAACACCUCCUAAUGUAAAGAGAAAUUUUAGGGCUUAAUUGUGUUAUUUUCAUCUCUAAUUUAAGUUUUGUUAGUUGUCUAAAAUAGUUUUGUACAUGGGCAUGCACCAAUAAAGGUGUACAUAGGGUAGGGGAUCACAUGCUUGUUUGGUGUUUGCUAGGGAAGCCAUGCGACUGAAGUCCAAAAUAAUGUUUUUGUUCAUGGUUGAGGAGUUUCAUUAAAAUAUCUACGUUGCUUGGCAACUAAGGACUUUGUGUUGUAAACGCAAUGUCAUUCAUGUGACAAUGUUUGAGUAAAUUGCAUUGAUAAUUCCUAAAGGGUGACUUGCACUACUAGUCCCCGAAUUUCGAGAGGGUGCACUUCGGCCCCUAAACUUUAAUUUUUUCCAUUCGAAGACUUGAUCUUUUGUACGUACACCUAAUAGUCCUAUAUCGGAUGAGAACGGGGCUACGAUUGGAUAUAUAAGAGACUAUGAACCAUAGUAAUAAUAAUUGAGCUUAAGCAUUUUGGGCCAGUGGUUUGGAUCCAAGGAGUUAUUAUUUUUAGUAGGCCGGGUCGUUACAUUUGGUAUAAGAUCCAGUUCAUCAGUUGGAAGUGUGAGGUGGGCCUUACAUUGCCUGAUGAUCUUGGGUUAUGUGUGUGUGAUUGGGCUGACGAGGACGUCAGGGUCCAAACGGGUAGAGUCCUACGUUGGAUAGAAAUGUUGAGAAUAUAACAAACUAUGGAUCCUUCUAAUAAUAACUAAGUUUAAGCAUUUUGAGCUAGUGGUUUGGGCCUAACGAGUUAUUAUUGCUAGUGAGUUGGGUUGUUACAUUUCGUAUCAGAGUUGGUUCACCAGUCGGAAGUGUGAGAUUGGCGUCACAUCACCUGAUGAUUUCAGGCUGACGAGAACGUCAGGGACUAAACUGAGGGAGUCUGUGAUAUCCCAAUAGUCCCACAAUGAAUGAGAACGGGUUUAUGAUUGGGUAUAUAAGAGAUCAUGGAUCUUAGUAAUAAUAACUCGGCCUAAGUAUAUUGGGCCGGUGGUUUGGGCCCAACGAGUUAUUAUUGCUAGUAGGCUCGGUCGUUACAAUGUGCUGAAAUUAAAUGCUGUUGUUGAGCUCCUUUUAAAUUGAGACGACAGAGUAAUAAUGUUGCAUCCUUGUCUUUACCAUGCCAUUAUCACAUCAUUGCCACAUCACUACCAUGGAAGGAGGGAUGGAGAGAAGAAAUUAUUGGCUUAAUCCAGGCAUCUACUGUGCCACAUUAUCUAUGAAUUGUAAGUUAAAUUUGUGCAUUAUGAUGCCCAAAAUUUAUGUAGUUUUUAAUGGGGCUUUUUUAAAUGUCGUAUUCACGUCCAACGGAUUACGUUUUAUUUUAAGACCUUUCUACUUGUAGUUAUUGUGUAGAUGAUGUGGCACAACUGUUUCAGCCAAUAUUUUCUCCUCUCUUUCUCUUUUGCUGAUGUACUAGUGACAUGUCAAAAUGGCAUGGCAACAAAUAUGAUGCAACAUUAGUUGAGUAAGCUCUUUUGGAUGAAGCAUGAUAGGGGAUUUACUUAUAGUAUGGAUUUUAAGUAUGAGGUUUCUAAUAAGACCAAAUAAGUUUAGCAACCAAAGCACAACCUUGGGACCAGAAGUGCAUUUUAUUCUCCAUGCCUUCUUGCAGAGCUUCAUAGUUAAUCAUUGUUCUAAAAAGUGGUGCAUAGACCUAUAUAUGCACCUGCAAAUGCGGAAGUCCUCGCUUCCCUGUACUGCAAAGACUGUAUACACGUGGCUUGGGUGCCACAUAAUGAGCACCUAAGCAAGAUAACUAGUAACCUGCACUUGAGCUAUAUGCAGAUAGAUUUACCAUAACAUAUAGUAAGGUACAUGUAUCUUAUACUGAAAACAGUUUUUAUAUAGUAAGGUACAUGAAAUUUUACAUUAUUUUAUAGGGCCACAAUGCCGUAUAACACUUUUUACGUUCAUGUAUCUUAAAUUUGUUGUAUCUUAUGUUGACUACAUAGGCACUGCAUAUGCAUCUGCCUUCUGCACGGGCGCUGUGGUACCUUGGGGUCUGCAUAUAUUGCUUUCUGCAUUUUUAGGGCAUGGUAGAUAAUGCGGUACAAGGACAGAUGUACUGUGCUAAAAUGCAGAGCAAAUAAUAAUUAACUAGUGUAGUAACCCGCGCGAUGCGGUGGAUAAAUAAUAGAAAAAAAAUAUUGAAGAGAAAGAAGAAAGGAGUUUUGAAAAUAAAAAUUCAAGUGUGUUUUUUUUUUUUUGGUAGGAAAAUAUAUGAAUUGAACUAACUAAUAUGACCAUUGAAAACAGAUAACUGUCCAAAAUCACCAUUCAAAAGGAAAACCUGCAAAGGUCGUUUGAAGAUGGAGAUGAUAAUGUUGCAAUGAUGACGACAAUGGCAUUGAAAACCUCACGGAAGUUUGCAGAAUUUUGCACCCUUUUGGGCAUGGGAUGGUUAGAAGUUGCGGGCUAGAACUGCCACACCAAUUAUGAAAUCAGAACUAACCUCUAACUUAAUCAAAAUAAUACAUAGAAAUCAAAUACUUGAUUGAUACAACCACUAUAUAAAAAAUAAUGCAAAAAAGUUAAAUUCUAAGUGGAUAUAUAGUAAGAAUUCGAGAUUAAAAUAAGGAAAAGAAAAAUUAGGUUUAGGAUUUUCGUUUCCCAAACUUACCCCUCAAUCCGUACAUUUUCGUUGUCCAAUUAGCUUCCUCCAUUGAAGAAACUGUCCGAUUACUUUCUUUUUCCAUAAAUUCAAAGAGGUCGAUAUAGAUAGAAACCCUAGAAGCACACUCUUGAUUGGGGGGGGGAGGGGGAGUCGGGUCAAGUCGGGUUGGCACGGAUUAGGGCUUGGAGGACUCCCUUGCUCUUUCCCAAUCUCUAGAUUUAAAAGUAGUAACUAUUCAUCUUCUCCUCUUUUAAUUUUACAUGUAAGGAAUUGUUUGAGGGAGAAGAAAGGACUAAUAUUGAAGAGAAAAAACUCAAAAACGUAUAAAUUAAAAAACACAUUGAUUACAGGUCAUUGAAGGGAGGGGAGGGGAAAAGCCAAGAGUAAAGACCAUUCAAAAAAAGGGCUAGUGAGGGUGAAGGAAAACUUGCCACGUGGCAAAAUCAUUGGGAAAUCAUAUAGGUUAAUAGAUUGUGCACCUGUCUGCAACUCUUAGCCUUUGUUUGGUUGGGGGUUAAGGGGUGGAAUAACCCCUUAACCCCCAUAUUAUCCCCAAACACCCCCAAAAAUGGGUGGGGUUAGCUAACCCCACCUAACUCGGGAUAGCCUAUUUUUAGGUGGGGUAGCUAACCCCACCUAACCCCACCAAACCCCAACCAAAUACUAUUUUCUAUUCAUAAUAACCCACUUCUUAUCCCACCUAUUCCAACCAAAUAUUAUUUUUCACUAUCCUGAACUAACUCCAACCCCUAACCAAACACAAAAAUACUCUAACCCCACCUUAACCGUGAACUUAACCCUAUCCCUGGAAUAACUAGUUUUUCUUAACCCCGAACCAAACAGUAUGUUAAGGGGAUGAAGGACUAAUGAAUUAAAGUAGGAGACUUGGUGAGAAUAAGACAUGGGGGCCUAAUAUCUUGCAUGCUGUUGCUGCGUGCCAUUACAAGAUUGUUAGCAGUGUGAAAGUGGGGAAUAAUCUUUUCAGCUAUUAGAAAGUUAGUUUUUUCCCCCAUUGUUGCUUAAGAAAUGAGCAGUUUCACUUGGCAUGCUGUCAUAAUAUUGUACAUCUCUUGCUUGUUCAGGCUUGUCAAAAUGGAGAUGAUGUUUAGGCCAAUCUACGAUAGUAUCAGGCUUUGAUGAUUAAAACAUUAACAUCGAUAUGUACAACAAUUUUAAUUUCUUAGAGAGAUUCUGUAAAUAUUUCUACGUAAGUUUUUCUUGACAAUUUGCAUGUCAUGAGAGAUAAGACAUGCAUUAGUCUUGUGCUUGAUGGCUCCAGAUCCAUGGUGCCAAUGUCAGAAGAAAACUAUUACUGGAAUAAUAAGAUUUAGUGUAAUAAUUUCACAGCAUGCUUGAUUAAUUUAUUCAUAAUUUUCGAAAAUUUGUUACCAAAUGUGUCCAAAAAAGAAGAGCAAAGCAAAUGUAGCAUGCCCAAAAGUGAACCAAUCCCUGUGUAAACCUGCCCUUCCCUAUGGAGAAUCAUCACCUUGUUUGUGGGCAGUUGAAGUAGAAAUUUUAGCCUAAGAACAAAAAUUUUCUGAUGGUCAUAUUUUGAUCCUUGCAGUAUGAAGAUUUUGAAAUGUUAAUUCCUUAGUUCUCGAUUUGUUAUUACAUUAUAUUUUUUCUUUUUGACUUGCAAUAAGUUGCUCUUUUGCCUUUAUUUGAUCUUGGCUUUUGUGAACUGAGUUGUUGUUUUCUUAGCAUGAGUUUAACUAUGCUUUCUUCAUUGUGUAACCGUUUUAGGAAGCUGAAAUCACAGAAUUAUGGGUGGAAGAAAUGUUGAUUGAAGACAAUUUAAUAUUGGACAUUUUGUUCCUUAUUAUGAUAACUUCACUACCUGUAAUGUUGGCCAAUGGAAGACUUUAUUUUCGAUUUUCAAGGUAUGCAUUAUAAUUAUUAUUAUUUUUUAAAAUUGUGUGGACUUCCAUUUUUAGGGCACCUUUAUCUUGAAAAUUAUUUGCACUACUCUUGAAAUACAUUUUUUACAGGGUAUGUUAAGUGGUUCAUUUGAUGUUGGAAAACUAGCCGUAUCUGUUGAAGCAAAAAAUUCUUUCUGCUAUGCAAAAGCUCAACUGCUGCUAAUUCUGAUUGAAACUUUGGACUUGGAAAAUCUUCUCCAAUUGGUUCAUGAUGAAGUGCCUUUCAGGUUAUGAUGAAUCUUUUGAUAUUUUGCUUCUGUUAUAGAGCUGCUAUACAUGUUUCUUUCCAAUGCUGAUAUGCAGUUGAGUUCCCAGUGCUAACUUACAUUUCGUGGUGUGCAUCAGGCAAGGCUUUUCUGCAUUUUCACUGUUAGAUGUUCAAGAGAUGGAUGCUGAAGUUUCAAGUCUCUCCGACUUAGGAUUCAGGGAAUCAGGGCCUUUAAUUCUUGCAUGGGCAGUUUUUCUUUGCUUGCUUUCGUCUCUCCCAGAAAGCAAUACUGAUUUGUUUACGGUAAUGUUUAUUUUCAUUAUUUAUUUAUUUUACCAAUUUUCUCAUCCAAUCUCAAUGAGAGAUUUAAUUUGUUUUCUUAUUUUUCCUUUUUUCCCCCUAGGAGAUUGAUCAUACUUCCUAUGCCCGACAAGCCUUUGAGGCUGCAGCUUUCAUCUACUUACUUGAAAUACUUCAAAGCAACACCUUGAGGGAAUCAGAUGUAAGUUUCUCCUUAAAUUACAUUAACUUUUUUUUUUCUCUUCUUGUAGUUUAUACUAUAAGCUCCUUGUUGUUAGGAAAAGAUGUUAAUAUACAUUAAGUAGCCCUGAAUUUGCUUACUAUUUCUAUAAAUGCAAUGGUUCUCAUCGAUAUUAAUAUGCUAAAGGGGAAGACAUCCAUUUUGCUUCUUUCUGAUAUUUGUUUGUGUAAAUGUUGUGUCCUCUCUUGUGCUAUCAGGUUGGUACUGUUCUUCCAUUAGUUUGGUUUGUAUAUAUGCUGUUCUCCUCUAUGCUUCCUCUUGGAAUGCUUCGUUAGCAAUAAUCAAUUUUUGUUAGCAUUCUUCAUGCACUAUGUGCUAAGGUGCAUGUGCUUGUAUUGUGCUCUCUUGAAUGCCCCAACAAAGAAAUUAGCUUGUGCAACGAGUUAAACAUCAUUCUAAAUGUGUCCUUAGUACUUGAGGAUUUAUUUUAUGAUAGUUUUCCUCCACUGAGACAAUUAGAGUAGGUUGUACAUAUGUCAUGCUCUGGGGUGUUUACCUUUACAAUUUGAAAAGGGUUCAGUUUGAAAAAGAUGGUUUUUUUUUUUUUUUUUUUUUUUUUUUUUUUUUUUUUUCCAAUAGAGUUAUGCAAAUAGCCAAUCAAUUGAGUUUAAAAAUAUAAUAAACAGCCCAGGACGUGCAUAGAUUUACCACGUGCAUAGGGUUCCUCUGUCCACAUGGACAGAGUCUUCCCUAUGCAUACAUGGUGUCAAGCACGAACAUAACAUUUAUCAUUAGCAUUAGAACCAAGAAGCAAUAUAUUCAUUCAUAAGCAUAAUACAAAUCAGUCAUACAAACAUGACUCACACUAAUGUAAACAGCAGGGUGUGAGAUACAACUGAAUGUAUCCCAGUGGGUAUAAUGCGCCGACAACCAUCAAGUUGUACCAACUGGUCUACAAUAAUAGAUAGAAAAGAACAGCAGGGUAACUAAGCAUAAUAAUAAUGAUAUUGGAAUGAAAGCAAGGUAUCAUGAUGCACAUAAUGUGAAGCAUGAUGAUAAUGAAACUAGAAUGAUAGCAAAGUAACAAGAUGCUAUAUCUGUAGUAAAGGAAAUGCAUCAAUGUACCGUCCAAUCCAACAGUACCCAACCCACUCUUGGUCACAAGGACCUCAGGCUCGUGCCGUAGCAAGUUACUUAGCAGGGCUGACAUAUAACCGCAUACCCUAGGGUAUAGCGGGGGGCUCACGGGUCGAUCAGAUCACUUGACCUGUAACAGCAGGGGCCAGUCUGCUAGUGUACACAACAUGUGUAACAGGUGCAUGACAGUCACAAUGCAUAAUGCUCAAGUAUCUCACGGUCCAACGACCGACAAUCGGCAAUAAGCAACUCCCAAUCGGGAGAGCAACAGAGCUAUUAAGGCUAAUCACAUCUAUAAUGUCUGAGCAACUAUGAUCACCUGCUCUACAAGUCGUGCACUAAUUGGAAACAAAGAAACCAGAGCAAGAAUAAAGCAUGAACUAAAUCACGAGUUGGUACAAGGAUAUAAGCAUGAUGUAAUAAAAGUGUAGUAUAGAUAAUCAAUAGCAGUAAGAACAGUAAUAACCAUGCCGAAAAUGUAAACAGUUAGGCUAUACUAUACCGAUAUCCGGAUCGGAGCAGCCACCUAAUGCAAAGAAAUCAAAUACAUGCUCCUCGCUAAGCAAUUUAGGCGUCACCCCAACCUAUAUCAAACACAAAAGCUCUAAUCAGUCCCUAGACGGCUAUCAACCGAUGGCAAUGCAUUCAGUGCGUCAUUUUCUGCUAAAUGACCACUGAAACUGACUACGGUUCUUGCACUGGUUACACGACUGACUCAACCAACAAAUACAACUGCUAUAAUACCCUAACACUGCCAGAAAAUGCUCCAUUUUAGGUGUCCGAACAGUCGAACAUAAAAUGUGUAGGAGAGGGGUUAUCGGCUCCAAACUAAGCUGUAACGAGUUCCAACAAAUGCCGAAUUGGGCAUGGGAACCAGUAGGACAAUAUACAUGUUUCCGUUGCUGCUUUCACCCAGCAAGGGGCCCCUAGAAUGGUUUCUACACAUUCCGACACUCACGAGCACAAAUAGUGUGUUGCGACGGCUGUUUUUCGCCCCGAAACACUUGGAACUGUCGUUUUCGGCACCGGGACAGCCCACGAUCCCACAACCAGCCCCAAGGCUGAUUACGCUUGGAAAAUGAUUAUGAUGGGGUCUCCAACAGUACUCGACCAACAAAUUCGGCCAAAAAGACCUGUUUUCGAUCUACCAUUAUUGAUUUCGGCUAUGAAAAAGUGUACAAGGUACACGCUCAGCCCGAACAUGUUCAAAACCCUUCAUUUGAAGUGUCGGGAAAGCGACUAAGUGUUCAUGCAUUUAUACGGCCAGCGGGAAGCGAAAACAAGCUUCCAAAGUCCCGAAUAGCACCGAUUACGGUUACUAGGCAGAACACACGCAAUUUCCGAUUCCGACGGAUCUUGGCUUACAAAAACACAAUUGCUGGAGGUUCGAACAUCAACCUCUGGCCAGCUAAAGAGUUUCACCGGGCGUUCCGACUAGAUCCAACAAGGAUCGAUCUACCACAACCCACCCACAACCAUGACAAUUACGAUUAACAUGAUUUUACAACGAAAGAAUGGAGUUUAAGACGUUGCCAAUGUUUCCCACAUUUAGGAAGCCCAAAAAGUGUGGUUUGGACAGUGACGUGGUGCUGGUCACCGUGCUCACGCUCCGAGAUGUUGGCAAUGAUCGACGGCGACAAGGGUGCCUGGAUCUAGUCGCUAUCGCACCUCCCUCUAGAGUUCCACACAAGAUUUGGCUCUUACAGUCGUUUUUGAUCGUGCCUAAGGUGAGCACAGCCCGUGGAGGGUGCUGGAGAAUACCUUGCUCACCAGAAAACGACUGGAGCAGUGCUGGGAGGUUGCGUUUGGGAGUGUUGGCUUGAAGGAGUUUGCAGCCUGGUGCAGGAAACAGCAGCGACGACAAUAGGCAGGAUCCGGCAAACCGCAGCACCGAUUGUCGUGCCGUAACAGAGGGUGACUGAGAGGAGGUCGAGGGAGAUGGUGCUUAGCCUAUGGAGGUAGAAGAACCCGCAGCAAGGCCUCGCCAAACCUCGCGUCUAGCAUGCUAUUGAGAGGAGAGGAAAUUCCGUUUUUUGGUCUAUUUCUGGGUGAUGAUUGUCGGAAUGGUCGUAGGGCUAAGGUGGAGGUGGCUGUCAGAUGGGCACGUGCGGGAGGGGUAGAGAGAGAGAGCCGUGAGGGAAGAAAAGGGAUUGUAGAAAAAGAAGAGAGUGAGAUCGUGAAAAGGCAGGCGGACCGGUUCGGACACCUCGUUGGUGGCUCGGUUUGAGCCAGCCACCUAGGGUUUCGUGUUACAAAAUCGCACGAUGACCCUCCAACAAAACCUCCCUUGCGAUGCCUCGCAUUCAUGUCCGCAGCUAACGACGCAAUUGUGCUAAACUACUUGUUGCAGCUUUUCAGGAUAGUUUAUUUUUUAGGAUGGGGGUAAAUCAUUCACUUAGAUAUGUGUUAAGCUAAAAACUGCUUAUUGCAGCUUUCCAGUAUAGUUUAUUUUUUAGGAUGAGGGUAAAUCAUUUACUUAGAUAUUUGUUAGGCUAAAGUUUUUAAAUACUAAAGAUGCUUUCUUGGUGGCAGCAAGUUAUGGAUUAGGAUUUGGGUAGAUUAAAAGGUUUGGAAUCGUCCUCUUUUCCCUUAACUGAACCCGAGAUAGACUAUCCUCUCCCUCUACUCUUUCUUCUUAUAUAUGUGUGUGUGGGGGUGGGGGGUGCAUGGGUGUUUUUCUCUUCUUUUCUUUUCUCCUUACAGAGCUCUAUUACCAAGGUGAUACAAUAUCGUCCUCCUGUAGUAUUGCUUUUGUAUUGUUGCAUUAAUUGAUAUCACAGACAUCCAGACAUUCGGUGGAGGCCUAUCCUCUUCUUCCAUUCUACAUGAGGGACCUCUUAAGUUGAAGAAUUUGCCAGUUAAUAUUGAUAGCUAUGCUAAUUAUGUAAAAGCAUACUUGGUAAACAAGUUGCAGCUCGAACUGGAGCCAAAUUGAACGCCAUAUCAUACUGUGUUUUCUUGUUUUGAUAGAGGUAGAACUUAAAUAUUGCUGCACAGUUCCUUUUCAAAUGAAAUACAUGUUAAACCCAUUGAUGCAACAUGGUUGAUGUAGCACGAGCCUGUAUUGUGCUUACUAGUAAGUCUUUGACGGCAAAGAGGAGUAUGCAGUGUUGAUCCAAAAAAGAUGCUUCUAGUUUCUUCCUUGAAAGACUGAUUGAUCCGUUCCAGAUCGAUAACACAAAUGUGUCGAACAUCAUUAAGAGCUGCCGAGCAAGGAUUUAAGUGCCGUGGUAUGGGGCCGUGCCGAAAACUUGUCUGCACGGUACGGCACAGUGCGUGCCAGGCCUUGCCGAUGCGUGCCGGUCACAAAAAUUCAUGUGUGCCGACACAUAAUAGUAUGAAAUUUUCAUUUUCUUUAGCAACAAAAUAUUCUAACUGUUUAUUAUGUAUUUUUAUCAAAUCUUUUGCACUUUAUUUAGAAAAUUACAAACUAAUUUAAAGAAUAGAGGGUUUUGAGCUGUCUUAUCAGCACGGAGGCUGUAUUGUGCUGAUAUCUUGUUGGCACGAUACGACACGGUAGAUACGGCCCGUACCGAUGGGCACUUAAAUCAUUGCCGUCGAGUCUCCUUUAGCUGGACGGAGGGAUGAUUCUCUCUGACCAACCAUUUGAGUGAGGGAUUGCAUUGGACUGUCAUUGGACCUGAAAUAGGAUGAGCAGAUACUGAGAGCGAUAUUGGUACAAGAUCCCAUGUUGCAAAAGCGAGUUGAUGUAGGCCAAGCAGGUCUCAUUUGGAUCGGGUUGGAAUCAAGUCUUUGCUUGAUUUUAUUAAUUUUUGUUAUUUGUUGGUUACCUCAUUGUUGGGAUUGUUUACUUUUAUGAUAAAGUACGAAUUAGUUAUUUUAUUUGAGAAGUUGUUAGCUAUCUUUAUGACUAAAAAUCUCUUAGUUAAAGAUUUGUUAGUCUAGAAUAAAUUGCCCACAUAACUCUUUCGUUGGCAGGUUAUGGAUUAUUAAAAUUGAUUUUGUUGGUUAAAGGUUUUGGAAGUGUCUUCUUUCCUUCAUGGUUGGCCUGAGGCCAAACAGUGUCUUCUUCUCCUUUUAGUCUUCGUCAUUUUCCUAUCCUUUGCCUCUUUUCGUCCUAUGGUGUUGUCAAGCUACAGCACCAUGGUUAGUGCCGCCUUUUACGGUAGCAUAUACUAACUACAAUUAAAUGCUUAAAAAGAAGCUGUUACCCUAUGAGGUUUUUUUGUCUAGGUGCUAAUUCAAUUUUAAAAGCAAUUGAAGAUAGUGAACCUCUAGAGUCUAGAUCAAGUUUUAUGUCCUAACUAGCCCAUUAAUAUUGUUGUGAGAUCCAUUGAUUUUACCUAAAUUACUAAUCUUGUUAUCUCAGUUCUUAUGUAGCCAACUAUUCUUUUGCCAUCUUUCGAUAUGAGAAAGUAAUGACUUCAAGUUGUAUGUCUUACAUUAUGCCUUGCUCUAUUGCUAAAUGCAAUCCAAGUGGAGUAGUGAAGACUUUCUAUUUAUCAUACAUUAGGUCCUUUGUGACAUACGAGAAGUGGUGAUGAUUUCCUAUUUAUCAUACAUUGGGUCCUUUGUAGCAUCUUAUGGCCUUAAUCUUACUUGAUUGCUGCUCACGCUCUUAGGGCAUGUUUGUUGCACCAAAACUUGACUUUGGGUUGAAGUGGACUUUGGGUUAAAGUGGAGUUCGGUGAAAACUAUUACUUCCCUGCUGUUUGUUUCGUAGUUAUGGAAGUGAAGUUUCCUCAAUUCUGCUAUUUGUUUGAUAAGAAGUGUAUGCUGUAAAACUAUAAUUUAUGUAUAAAUAAUAAAUAAUUUAAUAAAUAAAAAUAAUAUAAUUAUAUUUUUAUAUAAUUAAAAUUUAAUUUAAAACAACUAACUUUUUUUUAUACAUAAAUUAUAGUAAUACAACAAUAAAAUUAUAAAAUAAAAAAUAUUAAUAUUUAAUUAAUCAAUUUUUAUCAUAUUUUAAUUGUACAAACUAAAUAGAGAGUAAUUAGUACUGUAAUUAAAUAUAUUUAAUAUAACUAUCUUUUCCUAAUAUAUUUUUUUUUAUUUUUUCUUCACCUUUUUUCACCGUAAUUGACUUCGGCCCACGCCAAACAACGAAAGUGAUCGUUUAUGACGAAAACAACUUCUUCUCUCUCCACUUCCACCCCACUUCCACCCAAACAAACAUGCACUUAGAGGAUGGCAAUGGCAAGGUUGCACGUAGGAGAUGCCAGUUUGCAAAGUCUUAUGUUAACACCACCACUUUUCAACUUUUUGCUCUACCUAUAUCUAGUAUCUCCUCUCUUAAUCUCUUUGUGUUUAUGUUUAUACAAAGAAAAAUUUAUUCGUAAGAUAAUUAUUUCACAUUGUUUGCCUAUCCAAUUAUUAUACAAUAAAAAAUUUUUAUUUAUUUUUAUAUAUAACUAGUUGCCUAAUCUAUAUGAAAAAUCAAGCUGGAGUUUGAUCUUGAAUUGAUACAUUCUAACCUCUAUUUUGACAUAGUUGCUCCUUUUUGACAAUUCAUUUUGUGGCUGCUUGAUGUACUAGAUAAUAAUUGAAAACACAAAAUUAGGUUCGUAGGAAUUUCAAGUACUCUAUACCAUAUUUUAUGGUUUCGCUUGUUAAUUUGGAUGCUCCAAAAUAAAAAGGUAACUUGAUAGGACGAAGACUGCCAUCCUCCCCACACACACAAUGUUAGAGAUUAAGAGAGGGAGGGAGGGAGAGAGGGAGAGAGAGGGGGGGAGGGAGAGAAGAAUUUGUUCGAAAGUACUUUCCACUAUUUAGGCUGAGAUCAUCACACCUGAUCUAAUUUCAAGAAUUGUAUCAUUUAAUUUUAUGGCUUUUUCAUUUCAUACUUUUAGGCUUUCAUUUCACACUUUUAGGCUGUCAUUUCACACCACUUGAUCAUCACCCCUGAUCUAAUUUCAAGAAUUGUAUCAUUUAAUUUUAUGGCUUUUCAUUUUACACUUUUAGGCUUUCAUUUCACACCACUUGAUCACAAGGUAGAUAAUGGUGUGAAAAUACUAGAGACUUCAAAUACUCUAGAUCAGGUUUUGUGGUGUCGAAUAUUGGUUUAGAUGCCCCAUUGGUUCAAAUGCUUGUCAAAAGCGAAGUGGAAGUAUGAAUAAAAAUUAAGCACGAGUAAUUAAACAUAAGAAAGUAUGCCUAACAUAAUGUAAACCGUCACUGAUCAUAUUUUUUAACCACGAGUGUACUCAUAUUGUCUAGUAUUGUUAAGCCUAUUUCAUUCAAGUUACUAUUUCUAGUGUGCCGGCUAAGGCUAUACAUUCGGUCACUGAUAUUUGAAUGAAGUCAUACAGAGGAUCUGUUUAUUGUCUAUGGAAAACUGACUUUUUGUAUAGGCAUAUUGUACAUAAGAAUCUAAAGUGAAACAUUAACUUUUUCAAUUGAGAUAGUAAAUGAGAAAAUAGUGUAUAUCCAAGGCCGUGCACUUGUUCUACAGAAGGAUGCAAAAGUAUUGCACACUCCCUUUUCUUUUAAGAUAAAAUACAGAAAACUCCCAUAUAAAUACCCUUUUUUGCACUUUACCCCCCUGUCUUUAAUAAUCUUUAUUUUUCCCCCUUAAAAUUUAGAGUUGUAGUACUUAACUCAGCACUAUUAUAAUUUCGUCACUAUUCCGUGCAUAAAUUGCAUGGUACUAUCGAGAAACUUAUUGAGAUAGCCCCAGUGAUUAAGCGCCUAGGCGCUAGGCUCAAUGGCCAGCGCCUAGGAAGCCCCUAGGCGCGCGCCUAGGGCAAGGCCCAAGGCGCAAGAAAGGCGCGCCUAAUAUAUAUUUGAUCCUACUGGGUUUGGAUCUAAAAUAAUAUGCUUUAAUGGGUUUGGAUCCUAUAUUUAUUGGUCUAAUGGGUUUAAAACAUGUAAAAUAAACCCAAAACCAAUCUAAUCUAAAGUUCUAAACCCUAAACAUCUAUCCGCUCCAUCUCUCUCUCGCCGAGUCCGCUCCCCCUCCUCUCUGAGUCCGCUCCCUCUCCCUCUCUCCGCUCGGACCGAUCCUCUCUCCCGCUCGUACAUCACCUUCGGUUGCCUCCGGCUAUCCCUCUCUGCUUCUUCAACUCAACUCGCCUCUCCCUUUAUAUUAAGGCGCGCUUUUUUAAUCGCUGCUUUCACAUGAUCAUGAUGCUUUUUUAAUGAUUUUUGGCUUGAAACUUUAAACUUUUAUGCAUAUUACUUUUUAUGAUCUUGUGCUUAUAAUUAUAUGGCUUUCACAUCAAAAUUUUCUAUAUGUUUGUGAAUUAAUAGUUAUCUUUAUGUUGGCCUUUAUUUGGAGAUAAAAAAGGUAAUUUGUUCUUUACUUUUAUCUAUGUUAUUUUCUUUUUCAAAAUUAUCAUAUAUGUUGUUUGGCUUGUUUUCUUUUCUUAAUUUUUUUCCUUUUGGAAACGUAAUUAUUUGGGUAAUUAUAGAAUAUUUAUUGUGAUAAUAUGAUUUUAUAGAGUAUAUUUAGUGCUACUUAAUAAUUAUUAGAAAGUAUAGUAAGACACUUCUUGGUUAUUUACUUAUUUCAAAAUUCUAUGAAAGUGUGCGCUUGACCUCUCUUGGGCGCGCGCCUGCGCCUUGCGCCUUGCGCCUAGGUUCCAACAGCCCUGUGCGCCUAGGUGCGCCUUGGGCUUUUUUAAGCACUGGAUACCCCUUAUAUCUUUAAAAAUGGUACGCAUGCAUAUGAAUCUUAUAUUUUCUUUCAAAUUUGGUAACUUUAUGAAUGAGAUCGUCGACUAUUUACUAAUUAACUUUCCUUUUUCAUCAUUUUUACGGCUAAUAGGAGUAUAUUAGUCAUUACUCAGUUGUGCAACAUAAUUUAUGCACAAAAUAGUGACGAAAUUGUAACAGUGCUUAGUUAAGUGCCAUAACGCUAAAUUUUAAGGUAGCCAAAUAGAGGUUUUAAAAGACAAGAGGGUUAAAUGCAAAAGCGGAUAUUUAUAGGAUGUUUUCUGUAUUUUAGCCUUUCUUUUAUGUUCCAUGCUGGACAAAUUCUCAUAAUUGGAUUUGAGAAUGAUUUCCCUUUAUCCAUGGAGCAAGUUGGUUGUUGUAAAUUCAUAAUGUUUAUGUUUUCAUCCAUUUCUUUUUAUGAUGUUUGUACAAUGUGACUAGCUAAUUUCUUAUCUAUUUGUUUAAAAUUUUGGGCCAUAGUCUGUACUUGCAUUUUAUCAAUUGAAGAAGUUGUCAUUUAGACAGCAUUUCUGACCUCUAUCUUUAUUUCUUAUGAUGUAUCCAUCACAUACAAGUUAAUAGCUGAAAACUCCUUAACAAGUACCUUAAAAUCAUCAUUUCAGGGGCCUGUUUCUGGUUUCUUAAGUGUCUUGAGAACACUCAUUUCGUCAUUUAUUGCAUCCUAUGAGAUUUCUCAGCAGGUAAUUUUUGUCUUGUUAACGUGGAAUUAAAGGUUUUUUCAAUUUCUUUUCUACUUUUCUCUGAUAAUGUAUCAGCAACACAUAUGGGAAAUGUAUUGACUGAUUGCAUGCUUUUCACCCACCGCAGGCUGAAGAUGAUUCUCUGAACAUGAUUUUAGACAUCUUAUGCAAAAUUUAUGAUGGCGAGGUCUGGAUAUGUGAUAUUUCCACUAUUUUUUAAGAAUAUAUGUGACAGCUACUAGAUUUAAUUUCUUUUGUUCUUUUUUUUUUUUUUAAAUGAUUCAGGAGUCACUUUCUGUACAGUUUUGGGACAAGGAAAGCUUUGUUGAUUCUCCAAUUCGAUCUGUUCUUUACAUGUUAGAGAAAGAGUAUCCAUUGCGACUAAUUGAGUUUAUUCGCUUUCUAUCUGCUGUUUGUGGCGGAGCUUGGUCCGCACAAUGUGUGUAUGUGACCUUCUUUCUCUUUACUAACAUUUUUUGUGUUGGCCUUUCUGUCUGAUUUGUGUACUUGUGUGCAAACUCUAACAACAUGCAAUUGUUUGGAAGCUAUGGUGGUGGAGGAAGCUACUCGUUCUCAUGGGAAAAGAUGGGUUCUAGUGUUCUGCUUUCUUACAUGAUCGACCUUACGUCUGCUAGUUUAUUAUGCAUUUAAGUCAACUGUGAAAUGAGGUUUUGCUGAUCGCCACUGUUUAGUGUUGUUGCCCAAGCAUGUUUUAAUCCAGUUUGAUUUGUCGUUUUCGCUUCCAUUUUCUUUGUAUUGAAGUCCAGAAGUUUCAAUUUUGAUGGAUUGGUAGUCUUUUAUUUCCUUGAAAAAUUCAAUGGAAAUUUCUCAAAAAAUAUAAUGAUGAUCAAUUUAGAAAUUCAAAUUCCACAUGAUUUGCUAUAUCCUUGUUAUUAUUAUGUAGUUUGGUUUGUAAAACUCUGAAAUUUUCAUGGAUAUCUAUAGAGGAUAAAAUGUAAGGGUUAUAAGUAAUAAUAGUUAUAGUUUAUUUUAUUUUGAAAUGCUUCUAUCCAGUUUUCGUAAGGACUAUUAGAUGUAAAUUACAGGCCAUUUUCUUUCUACAAUUUUUCCAGUGUUAGUCAUGGUUUUUCAUUAUUUUACUCUUACAAAAUGAAAUCCCACUAUUCUUUUCUUGAAAUUUCACAUGUUUCACAAACUGGAUGAUUUGGUAUGCGUACAUCUAGUCUUAGCUGUAGAAUGACUGAAUGUCUUCUUUCCAUGUGUGUGUGUGCGCGGGUAUAUAUAUAUGAGUCCGGCUACUAUACUCUUAUCAAUACGAUCGCCUUCGUACUACACCUUAGCACCUAGGCGCGAGGCGCGAAUCUUAGCGCCUCAGGGAGUGAGGCGUGCGCCUCAGACGCACUUCGUGAUAUUUACGUUUAAUAUGUCUACGGUUUGGGUUUUCGGAUUUUGAGUUUUUUCAAUAUAUUCUAAAAUGUUAAGAAAUUUGUUUUAAAAAACUCCUAAUUUAGUCGCUUUCCUUUUUCUCUUGAUCGUUCUCUCUUCCACCCCCCAAUGGCAAUAAGUAGCAGCGGCAAGAAGCAAGAAGCAAGAAGCAGUAACAAGCACUUUUAAGUUGAAAGUUGAAACAUAAUUUUUUUAUUUUUAGGCUGAGAAUAUUUAUGCAUGCGGUUUCUUUACUUUUCUAUAGUUAUUUUGUUUUUGUAUAGCUAUUUUAGAAUUUUUUAACAUAAAACAUCCAUCUAAAAUAGGCUUGUUAAGAGUGUUUUAUUUUUAUUAGAUAUGCGUCUCACCUUCUUGAGGCGCGUGCCUUGCGGUGCGCCUCGCGCCUAGGCUCCCCCUCCUUCAGCGUGUUGAGGCAUCAACUGGUUGUCUAUAUAUAAUUAAAAAGGAAAAAAUUUCACUUUCCAUACAUAUUUAGGAGAAUGUAUGAAUAGAAGGGAAACUAAGGUGGACUCUAUGGCUGCUAUUGGAUCAAUAGUGUUAAGGUGUUGAGGUAUUCUGCAUGAGUAUGCAAGAAAGAAGGCAUUUAGGUUUUCUGUAUGUAUUUCAAAUGUACAAAUUAAAGUGCUGUUGCUGCUUUGUAUGUAGCAGCAUGUACUAUGCUGGCGGUUUGUCAACAUGGUAUAAUAAUUGUGCCGGGAUAUUCUCGUGGGACGCAAGGUUCCGUUAGAUCUGCCGCAACACAUGCUACAGUAGUUUCAUGUUGAAGUCUGCUGCCGAGUACCUUGCCAAGCCUGGACUGAUAUUGGGGAUGCUGGUUUAUUUAAAUUUUGGGUAACACAUACUUGUGAAAUUUCAUCUCGGCUUAUAGGGUAGAUGGCCUUCAAGCUGAAUAUUGUGGUAGUUUCUUACAUUUGCAAAAAUAAAAUAUAAAAAACAAGCUAAAAAAUUUAACAGAAGAAAAGAGAAAUGCAAAGUAAUGGUAAAUGUGUUUGACCGAAAGUAGAGUCCGUGCCAAACUUAUUGCGUCCAAAGUCCAAACCUUCCAGAAUGGUGUUUCUUGGCAAUCCUUGUGUUAGUGCUGCAAAUGUUGGCUGUAGUAGCGACCAUGUUGCAUGGUUGAUGUAAACUGUUAAAGAAUUUUACAUGUUACCUACCUAUUCUCUCUCUCUCUCUCUCUCUCUCUCUCUCUCUCUCUCUCUCUUUGAUGGCAGUAUGAUUAUUAAUUCUUUGUUUGGUUCUCUUUCAUUACCUAGGAAUCAUCUUUAGUAAAACUAAUAUGAUCAUGUGAACUACACACUAAGUUUGCAAGAUAUCACAUGAAAUAUGUGACCAGUAGAGUUGAAGUUAUUAUAUUUUCUUUUUGCUAUGUUGCUUUCAGAUCUGCUUACCGCUAACUUGCUUGCAGUUACAAUUACCUAGAGAACAUGAGUGGGAUAACAACGUUGUAUGAGAUACCUGGUCGUGCUGGUGUUGCGAACAACUAUGACCUUAUAGAGAUUCAUUACCAAAUAGGUGUUCCUGGUAUUGAAGGCUAUGUACUUCCAACUGGUACUUGUGGUUAUAUAUUAAAACUUAUUGAUGACAAUGUUGCAUUGGUUCGCUGGAAGGUAAAUGACCUUAAAGUUUCUGAUUUCUUUUAAAGUCAGCUACAGUAGAUGUUAAGCUUUUUCUUUGUGGUUGAUAUGUUAACUUUGUUCGAAGCAAUAAUUCAAUUUCACUGAGAUUGGUUUGUUGCAAGGUUUGUACUCAUGUUAUUGAGUAUAAAAAAUUCUAUACUUAUGUUAUUGAGUAUAAAAAAAAUUCUAUAUGCAUACUAUUAUACCAGUGUUUUGUCUCCUCCAUUUUUAGAUCCAUAUCUAAAUGAUUGUCUACUGUUUGCUUUAUAAUGUUUUACGAGUCUUUAGCUCCUUUUCUAGGACAAGGUUUAAUAACUAUAUUCUUAUAGCAUUAUGGAAGUCAUUUAGUCAUGGUACAGAAGUAUUGCUGUUUCUUCUGACUGUCUAGUUUUUUGUGAUACUUAAUUAGUAUGCUUAUAUAUAAGACUGCAGAUUUGUUACGUCAUAUUGCUGCUUAAUGCACCUACAUUGUAUCAGUUUUCAUAUAACGAUGAUUGUAUGAACGAAGGAAGAGCAUUGGAAGAGUAUUUACACUGUUACGGAUGAAACCAAUAAGUAGCACUAAAUUCAAAUAUCAUUAUUGUUUGUCAACCUCUUCAUCAAAUCCUGUAUAUUUGUGUAUUUCGUCAAUAUAGUUUGGGUGAAGGCUGUGAACUAGGUUGCUAGUUUUCUAUAAAAGUGCUGAGAAGAUGAAUAUUGGUUUGUUAAGCUGAUGUCUUGAAUGAUGCAAAAUUCCUUGCCCAGACAUUAUUUGAAGAAAUCUUUGAACUGUUUCAUUGACCUAGAAACCCACUUGUCGGAUGCAAAAUUCCUUGCCAAGGCAUUAUUUGAAGAAAUCUUUGAACUAUUCCAUUGAUUUAGAAGUCCACUUGUCGGCUAGAUUAAUUUGUCGUAUUGCCUUAAGACUGAACGAGUAAAUUUUAGUGUACAUAGUACAGUUCUGACUCAAUCUCGAUUGGAGAUAAAUUGAAACUUAAGUUCACAAAUUGUGAUGAUUUAUUUUCUUUAAUUAUAUUUAUUUGAAUUUUAGCAAUAAGUUAUGGGUACAAUUUACUUUGAUUUAUGAUUUUAUUCAUAAUUUUGUUCGCUAGCAUCUUUUCUAGAUAUAUUCUAACAAAAUUGUUCCCCUCUAGUGUCCACAUUCUGGAGUUUUUCUUUUACUCCUCAUUUUGGCACAUGGGCUCCAUUCAUUCAAUUAUGAAGAAGUUUAUUAUAUUGUUAAUUUGCUUUACCGGAUGAUAUCUGGAAACAAGGUAGUCGUGUUUUUUUGAUUCCUCAGCUUUUUGCAUUUUUCUGUCUUUUACUUUUUAGUGACGCCAUGUCAACUUUGUAUACUAAGGAGAAAUAGAGAAAAGUAUAAAUAAUGUAUAAUUUCAUUUGGAAGUUUAUAUUUUAGUAGCUUGUGAAUGAGCAUUAGUUUCUUUGUCAGGUACUUUCGUAUUUACAUUUUUUGUCAGUUUCACAUGUAAGCCACUGCUGCAUGCAUGUUUUUUUUUAUAUUUUAUGCUCAUUAAGUGGUCCAUUUGCCUACAAUGUUGGAUGCAUCAUACGAUGUAUAUUUGCUGAGGUCCUUGAUAUUUGUAGAAUGUAGUUGAUAGAAAAAUGUUUCUUGACUUCCUUUUUACCAGCUUUUAGUGCGCCAGGAAGCGCCAUUUCAAUAAUAUUUUAGUUCUUCUUAUAUGUCUUGCUUUUCUGGAGUGGAUUUUGCCCCUAUCUAGCCAGCUAGAUCUUCUGCAAAAGGGAGCUGUUUGAGGAUACCUGUUGUAAGAAGCCCUAAAAGAUUUUUCAACCUCAAAAUAACUUCUCACUGGUGCUAGAAAGAGAUGGUUCAUACUGGGGCUUUACAACCAGGAUUGACUAGUUUUUGAAAAAUUGAUUCUUAAUUUAAUUUGAGCUUUUGAUAUUUGGGCCUUGUUGGGUAUUGUUGCAAUUUUUUUGCUUGUUUUAAAAUGCAAAUUCUGCGUAAUAGAGCGUAUUGUCACGGGUCAAUCGUUGGGGCUCGACCGUGACGCUCUUGGGGGCCACAUUUGGUAGUCAUUGAGUUGACGAAGCUAUGGAGUUGUGGAGUUGAAGCGUUCCGUUAGGUUGGAGUCGCUGUCAAGUCUACGGAGGCAAUUCUCUAGCAAUGGCCCAUGCCAUGGCAAGGAUUUUGGUACCGCAUGCGGGGUUUCAAAACGUACCCCUCGGUGGGCACCUUUGUACCCCCGGGGUGCCAAAGGGCUGGAUGUCUUGCAUGGUAUAUAGGAGGAGGGGUGGACACUGCGUAGAGUAGCCCCGACUCCCCCGCCGACUCAUAGGAUAUGUGUCGUCCCUUGGCUAGCGGAGUAGCCAAGCCUAGUGUUUCGUGUGACUGUACAACGGAUGGUUGAAGGGUCACGGGCCUAGGGCAAUGUCAGAGACAGAGGUCGACGACAUUGUGGAGCGGGAAGCACCCGGGAGGCUUUGCUCCUAGGUUCGCGUGCACUACCUUAUGCCGUCUCGGAUCUCUGUGAGGGAGCGCGCGAGCGGAUGAGGGUUAGUUUUGCGACGGAUGGCCCGCCGUAGAGGGCAAGGCUCGCGAAGGCAAGUGUGCUGAGCGGGGAUUCGCAGGGCGCGGUGCCUGCGAAGGCUUAAGGAGAUGGAUCUCUGUAGGAUCGCCAAAGGGAGGCACGUCGAAGGAGACUCGCGAGGCGCGUAGGUCUUGGAGACUCGAGAGGGGCGAAACCCAGUGAGGCAAACAGUAUCGGUAUCCGUAUGGUGAACCUUGAGGGACUGGACAAUUGGUGUGCGACCAGGUGUGGUCGAGCCAUGGAGGGGGGUCAGAUGGGUUGCGACGCGGAGCGAGACCGGCUCGUUUGUAUGGGGCCUUAUGUGGCGAAACUAUGAGAACCGAGGGCGCGGAGUGCCAUGGCAAUGCGAGGUCGUGGGGACAGUCGAAGAGCACGGUGUGGGCUUGUUGGCUUCCUUGCCAGGAGCGUUGUGGGCACGUGUGCCGUACGGGUCGCAUGCGAAGCACGGAUGUGCGGAGCAUGGGCGUGCGGGGUGUCGCGCGGGUCGCUGGUGUUGGAAGACAGACGAGCUUGUGGCGCACACUUGGGUGGCUGCUUUGACGUGGGUCUUUGGACUGAGCGAGCAGGCCGCGCGUAGGCGGUAUGGCUGUGGAUGCUGUCAGGCGCAUGAGGCACAACAGUGGAGAAAGUGACCUAGAUUGGUGGCCAGCCUCAGUAUUGGGGUUGCUCGUUGGGGAACUCGUGGAGUCCGACGAGGGGUUCGAAUGCAGGUGAUUGGUUGAGCUGUCAAUCUCGCGCAGGAGCAAGCUUGGCAAAUGAUUGGAUUUGUAUUCCGCUGUUAAGUUUGGAAGACUUGUCCGUGUUAGGAUGUGGGGAAGGCUUGCCCAUCUUCGAGCAGGAAGGGGGCGCCGCACGGGCUUUACGAAGAAAAAAGUUAUGUUCGUGACAGUAUGCUUCAAAUUGGUCCUUUGCAUUGGCAACAAAAAAACAAAAACUAUGGCCUCAUCCAAUCUUGUUACAAUUUUUUUUUUGUUAAUUAAUUAGUUUAUUUGUUUUUUUGUUCUCGCUCCAAUUUUUAUUAAUUUUUUUUAAAGCAGAUGCCUCUGGCAUAGGACAGGGUUGCAUCGCAAGCUACCUAAUGAUGACGUGAGUAGGAAAGUCCAUCCAUGGCAUAUCCAACCACUAAUAAUUUUCAUUUAUAAAAUCACAAAACCGCAACGAUACCAAACAUGAUCUAGUAGUAAUUUUUGUCACUUUUUUUGUGUGUGUGAAGAAGAUGCCUUUCUGGUUGGGUUGGGUUGAGAGCUAGGCAAUGAUGACAAGAGUUGGAAAGGUUGCUUACUGGCUCAUGCUACUGCAUAAAAUAUUCAUUUAUUAAAAUAAAAGAAACAGCAAGAACAAGCCUUAGCAAACUAACGACAAAUAAAAGGAUGCUCAAACUUCUAUAUCUUCUGGACAUUAGCAGUGAAGUGCAAUAUGAAGGAUAUAUUUUUAUGGACAAAUUACUUUGUAUAAUUGGUUGUCAACAUUUGCUUAUUUAUUUGUAAUUGUCAAUCACGACUUGCACAAAAGUAUUUUUUUUUUUUUUUUUUUUCUCUUUUUAAGACUAGAUUAUACUNAGUAUUUUUUUUUUUUUUUUCUGUUUUGUUUUUCUCAGUGCAUCGCAUUUGACCUUUUAUAAACAAGAAGUUACUAAUAUGCAUGUAUAACAACAUUUGCAUUCUUAUUUGCGGUAAAACCGUAAAAGUGAACUUUUACUUAUUCUACUUGUAAUCCUUUUUACUUCUUGCUUUGCUGAUUGCAUGUGUAACUGAAAAUAUUUUGUAUGUCAUCGUCGAAAUGAUUGAAUUAUUCCUUUUUCUCUCAAAAUCAUUGUAGGCAUUGUGCUUUUCUUUGUUGCAUGCUGACAAGUCAUUACGUGUUCGAGCUUCUAAAGAGAGUGGGCAAAUCGAAGAGGAUGUUAGGUUAGAAAAGCACAACAAAUUUUCCUUAAAAGUGGAAUGUUUUCUCGUACUUGACAUUAAUUUUUAUUUUUUUAUCAGGAUUGAUGUAGUUAAUGUUUUCUGCACUUCAAUAUUCAAGUUAAUCCAAGAUGUCAGCAAUGCCAGUAUAGUGGCCACUUCGUUCAACAUAUUAUCGGAAAUGAUUAAGUGGUAAGCUUUCAUUUUUGGAGUAAAUUGUUUGUAUUGAUCUUCUGUUUGUUUUCUAUAGUGAGUAAUAGCAAUUGGCUUGUUUUCUUAAAGCUCUUUGCACAUGUAGCUGUGCUUCGUUCUUUUAAUUGCAUUCUAAUUGUGCUAACUUUUGUAUUUCAAGUUUCAUCUUCGAGUAUAACUUUUACUUUUUAUAACUAGAUGAACGAUCAAAGGGUAAACAAUAGUUAAUUAAUAUUUGAUAUGAUCAGAUGAAUGAUCAUAGAGCAAGCAAGUGCGAGUCCCCAAACCCAAGGUUUUAAGCAAGGUUUUAAGCAAGGUUUAAAGUGACGUGGCACGGGGGGCGUGCCGUUAUGUCCCUGGCACGGUACGGCACAGGAACGCUUGCGUGCCGACACGUGGCACGCUUGCGUGCCGAUAGAUACGCAUGACUUCUUACUGGCACGCUUUGGCACAGACUUAUUUUAGUUUUUUUGGUUCCAAUAAACUCUAAUAAUAUUAUUUUGAAAGAUUUAAACAAAAUAAUUAUGAAUAUUUACUAUAUAUACCAAGGAUUCAAGUGCCGGCCGUGCCGCACCGUGCCGGUGCGGCACGUACCAUGCCACCAAGAAGGGGUACGGUACAUGGGGGGUCUCGGACCCCCCUUCCGUGCCGCGGCACGCGGGGCUGUGCCGCAUGAGACAGAGCGGCACGGCGAUGCGUGCCGCGGCAUAGUGCCGUGCCGGCACUGUGCAACUUUUUUUUUUUUGCUUUUUUUUGUUUUUUUUGUUUUCUUUUUAUUUUUNNNNNNNNNNNNNNNNNNNNNNNNNCGAUUUUGUUUCCCAAUUGCUCAAAAAUUUCACGGUCCUGACAAAUGUGUAGAUAAAUGAAUUUGUGAAGAAAAAAGUAAUGAGCUCCUAUGCGUGGAAGAGAGGAUUGGAUAUUAAUAAAAAAUUUGCCCUAAUUAAUUAAACAAAAAAUGUAAAUUAUAAUUUUUGAGCUUGCCCGCUAAUAGAAUAGCGAUCUUCUCGCAUUUGCCCCAAUAUUUUUUAGCGGUUGGUAGCAGCUACCCAGAAUGCUUCGGGCCUACCCCAUAAAUAAAACAAAAAGAAAAAAACAAAAAAAGUUGCACCAGUAAAAAACUGGCCAGCACGGCACAUGCCGGCAAUCGCCGGGCCUGCUCUCGAUCUCGUCGCGCACACUCAUGGCCCCGGUUGCCCCGCGCCACAGUAAAGGGGUCGCGAAGCUUAAUGAACCCUAUAUGGUUUAUUUUGCCAGAAGAUCGGCUUUGAUCGCAAUUAUCUGCAAAAGUUCCAUCUUUCGGAUUUUAUAUAAAGCAGCACUUUGGGAUCAUAAAUUCUACACACUACAUGUCUCUUCCUCUUUUAGCAUGUUAUAAUUUGAUUGUAAACUACACAAUAAAGAAGCCAUCGUUUCACUUUGGCAUCAACUGAGAAACUUGUGAUUCUUAACUUUUUCUAAUCGCCAGUAUCCUGCUGCGCCCAAAUGCUCUUGAUUCGUACUGCGAAAACUGUCUAUCCUAAACGAGUCCUGAGCCGUGGCCUGAAUACUGCUACAAAAAUACUAGAUCUCCAUUUGUAUUGUGCUACGAAGUACUCGCCAACUAUCUCGUUCUUUGGAUCCUUAAAUUUUGUUAACAUGUCAGACUAGGGCUUUUCUCUUUAAUUUCAGAUUCUAAUUGUUUAUGAAAAUACAAUUUGAAACUUGGAAUCUGACUCUGAAAAUGCGACAUUUUUCCAGCUCUUCCGCAAGGCACCAAAAUAUUCCAGCUUCCUAUGCCCUAAUCUCAAACUACAUGAGCCGGCAUUGAAAGGGAAAAAAAGCGGGGAGAGGAAGUACAAGAACGAAAGGCCGCCGGAAGUUGCGAUAGAAGCCCUAGUCCGCGCAACCUGAAGACAGAAUCAUCGAAGCAACGCGCGAGCACUUGAAUCCCUUCGCUUACUUCGUCAAAUAUUAAUUAAAGCUCCUUAAUAUUUGUUCUCACUGCAUUAUCCAAUCAAUUUAAUAUUACUAAGGAGAUCUCUCAUUGGAACCAAAAAAACAAAUAGCUCCCCUGCUGGCUGCUACCAAAGGCGCAUGCCCAUAGGAGCGCCGUCCCAUGCAGUUUUGGCAUUCGAUUUGGCUCUCAUACGCACCCGCGCCGACCUUCUAAAAAUUCCAUACGCUCAGGUUCACACGUUGUCCAUGACGAGGACCUUCCAAUGCGUCCCUUGUGCCCCCCCGCCUACGCUCCUCCCCUCCCCCCCUCCCAGACAAUUUGGCACACUUGUUGUAACCGUAUUUUCGACUGAAACCUUGGUGGCUUGACAGUUUACGAACUCAAUAAACAAAUUUUAAGGCACAUCAAAUAUAAAAUUUUAUUUUUGCGUUAGAAGAUUGAAAAUACUGAUAAAAUUAAAAGUUAAAUUAAAUUAAUUGAUACUUAAAUUUAUUUAAUUUAUUUGUCAUAUAAUUUAUUGCUUAAUUUUUUUGAUAGAUCUACUAUUUUUUGAAAAAAUUAAUUAAAAAAUAAUUUUUUAAAAUUAUUUUAAAAAUAUUUUUUUGUAUUUAUAAAAUAAAGAUUGUAAUAUAGUCAAAAGAAAAAAGAAAAAAAAAAGAUGUCUUUGCAUUUUAAAAAUUCUAACAUAUAAAAAAUUGUAUUCUGUAUCAGAUAUAGUUGUACUUUACAUACAAAAAAGCUUAUAAGUAUGUUAAUUGAUGAGUAUAGUAAGCUAUAUAUAGCAAAUAUUCAUAAUUAUUUGAUUAAAUCUUUCAAAAUAAUAUUAUAAGAGCUUAUUGAAAUAAAAAAAAGUGAAAUAAGUCUGUGCCAAAACGUGCCAGUAGUAGGAAGUCAUGCGUAUCUGUAGAACGCAGCGGAAGUAUUCGUUCGUACCUUUUUGCGGAAGCGAUUCUCGUUACAACUCGAUGAGCCCGGAUCGUCGAGGUUGAUUCACGUGUCCUUUGAUCGUCCUUGAUUAAAUCUUCUCACGUUCCAAACUCGCGAUGGAUCGAACUACAAACGAGCACGAUCACAAAUCCACCGUUCAAGUCCCUCUUAGAAUAAUAGGUCGAUGGAGGAUGUGGUUUCUCUCAUUCGUUUUCUUAUUCUCUUUUCUUUUUCCGUUCUUGUUCGUUCUUAUUAUGUGGGAUCGCCCGUAUAUUUAUAAGGGAUUCCAAAUUCCUAAUAGCGUUAGAGAUAAGGUCAAAUCGGUUAUUAAUUGUUAUCCUAAUAUGACUAGGAUUUAUCUCUAACUAACUUUCCAAUUUGAAAGCGAGAUUAAUUCCAAUCAAAUUAGAUAACAUAACAUCCGUCCGAUCGAACCCGCUUAUGGGCGUACUCGAUUCGAUUUAACCGAAUGCCAACAAUAUCUAUCGGCACGCAAGCGUAUCAUGUGUCGGCACGGAAGCGUGCCAGUGCCGUACUGUGCUAGGCAGACAGCGGCACGCCCCCGUGCCUAGGGGUGUAAAACGGGCCGGGCGGCCCGUGGCCCGCUCGGCCCGGCACGACAGCUGGCUGGGCCAUGGCCCGGCACGGCUAUUGUAGCAUCCGUGCCGGGCCGGCCCGGCCUGACUCCACGGGUCGUGCUGGGCCGAGCCUCUGCGGCCUAUAGUCCCGGCACGGCACGGCCCGUGUCGGGCCUGAGCCGUGCCGGGCCAGAGGAUCGGCCAGCAGCCCGGCACGGCACGGCCCGGAUAUAAAGAAGUCUGUAGGGCCUGACAAGCCAGGCCUAAGCUAGGCUUUAGGCUAGCCUUUAGUAGGCCUGCCACGGUCCAAGGGUCUGCAGACCUUUGGACAGUGGGCCCGACGGCUAUUGAGCUGUUAGGUUGGGCCAUGUCAUGGACUUAUGGGUGUUUUUUUUCCUUUUCGAAUUUUUUUUUAUUAUUUUUCAAAAAGAAGGUUAAAAAAAGUAAAAAAAAAUAUUUUUUAAUCAAAAUGACCAUAAUGUCCUCACUAACAUUCAAAAAUUUAAAUGUUAGAGAGGACAUUUUGGUCAAAAAGUAAAAAAUAUUUAUAUAUAUAUUUUUAAAUUUUUUUAUAUCUAUAAAUACUACUACAAACAUUCAAAUUCAUCACAACAAACUACUCUUCAUUCAUUUUCUUCUACAAACACUUCCUACUCUUAAACUUUCAAUUUAAAUUCUUUUCUCUCUCAACUCUCAAGUUUACUUUGCAAAAACUUAUGUUGAUUUUUUUUCUCUAUUGUUUGCUAAUUGGUUGUAUAAACAAUACCAUUUUAUUUUAAAUAUAUUUUUGAUUUUUUGAAUUUUUAUAUUUUUCUCUAAUGUAAUUAUAUAAUAUGAGUAAUUCAAAUACCAAUUUUAUUAUUUGUGUUUUAAUUUUUUUAAUUUUAUAAAAUUUUUAAAUGAGUUUUAGAAUGUUGGGUAUAAUUGUGUAAAUUAAAAUUUAUAAGUCAAAAAGUUAUAAUUUAAAAUCUUUUUCCUACAAAAAUAAUUUUUUUAAAAAAUACAAACUUUAUGUAAUAUGAUUAAUACAAACUUUAUAUAUUUGUUGUAAUUAUUUUUUUAAAUAUCAAUUUCUCUUCAAAUAAUAAAAAAAGGUAUUAAAAAUAUUUUUUUUUCUGAAAAAAGAAUUCUGAAAAAAAAAACUGUGGAAAGGAGAAAAAAGGAAGG
This 70358-nucleotide long non-coding RNA is filed under the name Ananas comosus (pineapple). RNAcentral's name for it is "long non-coding RNA (ACOM_LNC029460)". Lineage: Eukaryota; Viridiplantae; Streptophyta; Magnoliopsida; Poales; Bromeliaceae. The record is from RNAcentral.